This 62153-nucleotide long non-coding RNA is filed under the name Lactuca sativa (garden lettuce). RNAcentral's name for it is "long non-coding RNA (LSAT_LNC007077)". Lineage: Eukaryota; Viridiplantae; Streptophyta; Magnoliopsida; Asterales; Asteraceae. The record is from RNAcentral.
UUUCCAUUCUCCAAGAACCUUGUAUCACUCAUCCCUUGCUUCUCCAUGUUGUACGUAUUAGCAUUGUUAGUUGUACUUCCACUAUACUUUGUCUCACCAAACCCUUGCUUCUCCGAGUUGUACAUAUCCUCACUUCCCUGCUCCUGGGAGUUGUACAUAUUGCCGCCGUCUUCCGUCUCCACAAACCUAGUAUCAUCAAACUGAGGCUUCACUGACUUGUACCCAUCGCCGCCGGGGGCAUAGUAGUACUUUCCAUUCUCCAUAAACCUAGUGUCACUCAUCCCCUGCUUCUGAUAGUUGUACAUAUUGCCACCAUUUGUACCCAUCUCUUGCUUCCCAUAGUUGUACAUAUCGCCACCAUUAGCAAACUUUGAACCCAUCUCUUGCUUCCCAGAGUUGUACAUAUUGCCACCAUUUGUACCCAUUUCUUGAUUCCCAGAGUUGUACAUAUUGCCACCGUUUGUAUCCAUUUCUUGAUUCCCGGAGUUGUACAUAUCGCCACCACUUGCAAACUUUGCACCCAUUUCUUGCUUCUCAGAGUUGUACAUUCCGGUUUCACCGGUGACCUGGCCGUUGAAUUCGUCAGGGAAGUCUUGGGUGCUGCUGUGAAUAGGGGUGGUGUAAGCCACCGGGUUGUAGUUUUCCGGAAGGUUGGCGGGGAGGGGGAAGUUGUUGGCGGUGGCAGAAGGUGGCAAUUGGCCUGAUUCAUGGCCGUAGAGGCCGUAAGCGCCGCCGUCUGGUUGGGUUUGUGGGAUGAAAUUGGGAUCUUGUUGAUUGGUGUUUAAGGGUUGUACUUCUUUUGGGAUGUUGUUAGAGAUUUUGGCGAAGAAUUGGCUUUCUCUUGCAUGGAUGGUGGAGGAGAGAGUGAGGAGAAGGAGGAAGAAGAAGAAGAAGAAGGAGGUGAUGGAAGCCAUUGGAGGAAAGAAUAGAUUGAAGUUUUGGCUCUUGUGUUUAUGUUUCAAUGGGUAUGGAUUUAUAUAGCAAAAGUUGAAUCUCUCUAAAUCUCUCUAAAAUCUCUCUCUCAAUCUCUCCCGGUGUUUGAAAAUUAAUGAAUUUCUACAAGUUAGGUGCAAAUUGGAGGGGAAAAGGGUGAUGAUUGCGGUCCCUAAUGCAUAAUACCAGCACUUUGACAAAACAACCCUUUUCUUGUGGGCCAUGUUUUCAUAUUAUGUUAGAGGGAAAAUAGCUAUACAAAAAUAAACAGAUACAAAUUUUUAAAAACGAUAUCGAAAUACGUUUUUGUUGUUGUGGCAUUAAAAACAAAUUGAUUAUAAUUGAUUUACUAAAUAAAAGUGAUGAAUAGAAAAACCAUAUUUGAAUUGAACUCGUCUUAAUCUUCUCGAUGAGAUUUUUUUUUUUAUAUUUAUAUGUAUAUUUUCGUUAUCUAAACAUUGAUUUUUAUGUGAAAUGUUUAACAAUUUAUGUUUAAAAUCAAGUUGGGUGUUUUUUUUUUUUCAUGUAAAUGUUGUACAAUCAAAUUUGGUGUUUUUACUAAUACAAAAAAUGAUGUUGUGUAGUAUGACCGAGUUAAUCUAAAAUAUUUUCAAGAGAAGUUUUAAUUACGAAAAAUAUCAAAAAAUAUAAGUGGGAAACCUUCAUGCACGAGUUUUAGGAGGAGCUAGUCAAAAGAAUGUUGAUGCCUUCCACACUAGAGGGACUAAAAAUAGUUGAGUUGCAAUUAUUGUUUUAGAUAUUAACAAUAGAUUAAUGAUAAAUUUUAAAAUUGUUUAGGUUAAUUUGAUUUGAAAUAAACACGAAUUUAUAGAUUGAUAGUCUACUAUGAUAACUUUGUAGUUGAGACCAUUUUGUGGAUAAUCUCGAUGAUGUAGUUUGAUUUGCCAACUACCUUACCAUAAAAAAUAUAUAUAUAUACUAUAUCUUAAGACAAGUAUAUUAUGCAAAUGAAUUAUAUUCAUUUAAUGUUGUAAUUGGAUAUAUGUCAAGGGCAUUUAGGGUAUUUUGAACUUAGAGGAUGCAUAGAGAAGAUAUGGACUAAUGGGAGUGGGGCGUGGAAUUAUGCGUGGAUUGUGGGAGGAGAGAAGGGGGAGGGGGACAUGAAUGUAAAAGCAUCAUUAAAUGCUACAAAGAAGCAUGGCAACAAGUCAUGUUUAGAGCAUGCCCUCAUCUACUCUAUUCUUCAUAUAUUGAUAGCUCCUUACAUCAUUAACAAUCGAAUUUUUAGCAAACAAAACUUUAUAAUAAAAUUGUAAAAUUUUCUAGGAGUUAUAACAUGAAAACCAUCUCUGAAUUAUAACCAAUAUAUGGUUCAUGUAUCUUCUUUUCAUCCCUAAAAAUGAAUUUUUUUUUUCAAUUACUAAAUGUGUUAUGUAAAUUUGUAAUUAUCCAAUUGUUAAGUCAAUGAAAAUGAUAAUUAUGCUCUCAUCUUUCUUCAAGAACUUUGAAACUAAACCUAAUUGCAAAAUUAAAUUCAACAAAAAAAAAUCAUCAAAAGUUAAAAGUCAAAAUGAGUAAAACAAAAGAAAACCAGAACCAACACUCGUACACCAAGAAUGCACACAAAACUCAAAACGCUAACUUAAAUCAUUGCUUUGUAAAGUUAGGAUUUUGAUUUAUAAAUUUAUUCCACCUUAUAAACUAUGAAUCCAUCCGGAAAUGACACACCCCUUGUUUGGAUGAUUUUAAAAUAGUAUUAAAAAACAAGUUUUAAUCUUCAAAACCAACAUUCUCAUAGUUUAAUAAGUUUUGCGGAUAUAAAUGGUUCCAAAAAAAUAUUUAAAAUUAGUUGUUUCAAAAUGUGAUGUGUCGUUAGGUAUCAUACCAAUGAUUAAGUUUCCCACACAACGGGGUCAUCUAAAUGACAUGCACCUCCGGUCCCUAAGUACUUCAAUGUGAUCAUACAUCAUAAAUAAGUUAAGCAAAUGAUUGAGUUACCCAACGAUAAUUCAUUUAGGUGUUGUUCGUUUUUUCGAAGCGAAAAUAUCUGAAGUCUGCGGACCAUCUCUGUAACCCUCUGUAGCAGAAGAGGGAACCAAACGACUGCAGAAUGUAAUAAAAAGUUUGUAUAUUUUUUGAAUUCUGCAUACUACUGCAAUAAGUUAACGUAAGGUGUGAAGAUGUUUGAAGCAGAGGGUCAAGUGAUGCGUCACGCAGCACACGCGCAUCCGUUUUUAAGUCAGAAGUCUUCUGAAAAACAAACAUGUACAAAAGGCUAAGUGAUGUGCGUGUGCUGUGCAACGCAACAAUAAGUGAUCAAAAGUGGUUUUUAGAAAAAAUAAACAACACCUUGUAGGGAAUCUUAGGGUUUGUGGUGGAGAUCUGGAUACCAACUUGGAUCGUGAUAUCACUUUCUGAAUUGAUAUUUCUACUUUAUGCCUAGGUUACAAGAAAUUCAGCCUAGGAUAAUCCAAGUGAACACUUACGUUUCUAGGCACAUAAAACAUAAGCCAAUAAGCUAAAGGGUUAUGUGAAUGUGUGAUGAAAACGAGAGCUAAAGAACGUAACCCCUUCUGUAUAAAAAGAGCCGUUUAUGUAUUAAACAAGAUUAGGGUUUCAUUAGGGUUGGGCCGUCAUUAGUUGCAUUGGAAGCAAGUAACAUUAAUCCGGAUUAGGGUUACCAAAACUAACGAGUUUCGUUAGUUUUACCAUAAUCACCCCCAAGAAAUUGAGUUUUCCAUUAUGUUCACACAUGCAAAUUUCGGUGAGGUUUUGGGGUGCUUCUCCAAAUCCCGCGGGGGCUCAACCCCUAGACCUCGCCAAAGGGGCGCUGCCCCUUUGGAAACCCCGAACCCAGGGGCGCUGCCCCCGGACCCCCGACUAGUCGUCGAACCAGCUUCUAAUUCGAUCUUAUACAUGCGUGCACUCCGCACUACUCUAUACAUAUAUUAGAGUAUAAAUUAUGAAGCCCCUUAGCUCACAUGUUAGUUCCAGUUACUUAAAAUGACAUGGUGGCACUAAAAUCACCAACCAUCCUCCCCCAUUUUAGUGUAACCCUUGAACAAACAUAACCUUAUCAACAACAAACCAAACUAGUACAUAAUGAAAAUAUCGAAACGAUUGAAUUUCCACUUAGUAUCAUACACUUGCAAAUACUCGAGAAUCAGGGUGUUCUAAGAAUUGAACCUAUCAACCCAUUUGAAUACUAGAAAGUAAAAUACAUAGUAGUUUAUUGAAUUUCUAGCAUAAUACAACUUGACACUAUUAUAAAGUCGUGUGUCCCAAUCCUCUCAUGAUUGUAUCAAGGUCAAGUCCAUAACCUCUUGAAAUGCGGCUACACUUCAAAAUCACGUAGGUAACUCCUUUCCAUGUAUCUACACAUACAUUUAUCAAAGGAAUUAUUAAGAAGUUAAACUUUAACCUGGCUAACUUGCAGAACCGAACACAUACUUGGGAUGAAUACUUCAUGCGUUCCAAUCUAUAAGUAUGAGAUUUCCACAAUGAAUUCAACUCCUAAAAUUAUAUUAGGAGGGAAUUAGGUGUCUCAUCAUUAUAGAAUUAAAUGGACUUUAAUCCCGUCCCAAUUACAAACUUGUGCACUAAGUCUCUUGUCAGACCUUUAGUCAAGUGAUCUGCCAAAUUUUGUUGUGAUUUCACAAACUCAACCGAAAUCACACCAUUCAUGAUUAGUUCUCUAAUCAUACUAUGUCUAACACCUAGGUGUCUAGACUUGCGAUUAUAAACCUGGCCAUAAGCCUUAGCCAAAGCGGCAACAUUAUCACAAAGGAUAGAAAUAGGUGCUAUCGGUUUAGACCACAAAGGAAUCUCAUAGACCAAAUUCCUUAGCCACUUUGCUUCUUUACCAGCAACUACUAACGCAACAAACUCAGAUUCCAUUGUCGAGUUUGUAAUGCAAUAUUGCUUCUUGGAAGCCCAAGAAAUGGCACCUCCCCCAACCAAGAAUACCCAACCAGAAGUUGAGGAAUGGUCGUCCAUGUUGGUAAUCCAACUUGCAUCUGAAUGACCUUCUAAAACCGAAGGACUCCCCAAGUAACUCAAACCAUAAUUCAUGGUUCCCUUGAGAUACUUAAACACUCUAUUCACUGCUUGCCAAUGUUGAGCACUAGGAUUGCUAGUGUACCUGCUCAACUUACCCAUAACAAACACAAUAUUAGGUCUGGUACUUGUCAUGGCAUACAUCAAGCUACCAAUAGCCUUAGAUUAUUCCAACUGUGAAAUGGGAAUACCAUUAUUUGGCAUUAAUUUCACACUUGGGUCCAUAGGAGUACUCACAGGAGAACACUCGGUAAAAUUAAACCGCUUGAGAAUUUUCUCAAUAUAAUGACUUUGAGUCAUUACCAAUCCUUUGUUCAUCCUCUUAAUUCUUAUUCCAAGAAUUACAUCAGCCUCUCCUAAAUCUUUCAUUAAAAACUUGGAUGACAACAAUUUCUUUGUUUCAUCCACUUGAUUUUGGUCGGUGCCAAAAAUCAACAUGUCAUCUACAUAUAAGCAAAUGAUCACUCCAGCUCUAGUAGCAUCAUCAAAUCUACUAUAAACACAUUUGUCACAUUGGUUUGUUUUGAAACCAAAAGACAAAAUCACCUCAUCAAAUUUUUGAUGCCAUUGUUUAGGCGCUUGUUUCAUCCCAUACAAAGAUUUGACAAGUUUACAAACCAUAUGCUCUUUACCGGGCAUAAUGAAACCUUCUGGUUGUUUCAUGUAAACUUCCUCGUCAAGAUCACCAUUUAAAAAGGCUGUUUUCACAUCCAUUUGGUGAAUAACCAGAUUGUGGAUACUUGCCAAGGCAACCAACAAUCUAAUAGUAGCAAUACGUGCAACUGGAGCAUACGUAUCAAAAUUGUCAAUACCGGUUUUUUGUCUAAAACCUUGAAUGACUAACCGAGCUUUGAAUUUGUCAAUAGUCCCACUAACAUUCAUUUUAUUUUUGAAAAUCCAUUUGCAACCAAGAGGUUUAGAACCUGGAGGCAAAUCAGACAACACCCAUGUACUGGUCUUGGAGUAGUCAGCACGUAUGCUGCUUUUAGAGUGGUCAGCAUGAAGUGCAUCUUUUUCUUCCAGCGCUUGAAAUCGACACCUUCAAACUUCUCCAACUUGGCAAACUUAGUGGUCAUCUCGAGGAUUGAGUCACCCAUCUCCAGAAUUAGAAAUAUCAAUUUGAUUGUAGGGAAUCUUAGGGUUUGUGGUGGAGAUCUGGAUACCAACUUGGAUCGUGAUAUCACUUUUCGAACUGAUAUUUCUACCCUAUGCAUGGGUUACAAGAAAUUCAGCCUAGGAUAAUCCAAGUGGACACUUACGUUUCUAGGCACAGAAAAUGUAAGCCAAUAUGCUAAAGGGUUCUGUGAAUGUGUGAUGAAAACGAGAGCUAAAGAACGUAACCCCUUCUGUAUAAAAAGAGUCGUUUAUAUAUUAAACAAGAUUAGGGUUUCAUUAGGGUUGGGCCGUCAUUAGUUGGAUUGGAAGCAAGUAACAUUAAUCCGGAUUAGGGUUACCAAAACUAACGAGUUUCGUUAGUUUUACCAUAAUAACCCUCAAGAAAUUUAGUUUUCCAUUAUGUUCCCACAUGCAACAUUCAGUGAGGUUUUGGGGUGCUGUUCCAAACCCCGCGGGGGCGCUGCCCUAAACCCCGCGGGGGCUCUGCCCCUUGGACCUCGCUAGGGGCGCUGCCCCUAGACCCCGCCAAAGGGGCGCUGCCCCCGGACCCCCGACUAGUCGUCGAACCAGCUUCUAAUUCGAUCUUAUACAUGUGUGCACUCUGCACUACUCCAUACAUAUAUUAAAGUACAAAUUAUGAAGCCCCUUAGCCCACAUGUUAGUUCCAAUUACUUAAAAUGACAUGGUGACACUAAAAUCACCAACACACCUUAGAGUAAAAGUUGACAAUCCAUUUUACUAGAAUCAAACCUCCAAAACAUCACAAAAUAAUUAAACAAGUAGAACACAUGGGUUUAAUAACCCAAAUCAAAUCAAGGGUAUAAUUAUAUGCCCAAAAGAUUAAUUGCAAUUGAUAUUUCUUCUAAAAGACGUAUAGUCUCAAAAACUUCAUAAAAAUGAUAAACCAAUACUAUAACACAUAAUAAGAUGCAAUGCAGACAACUAGACCAAACAUAUGUCAAUCUCAAUAGUCAAUCACACUGAUGGCUCAAUAGGACACUCUGACGGUAGUCCAUUCCUAGGGAUAUGGAGCCACCACACCUGGCACAAACAAUGGAUAGCUAACCUACACUUGUGCAAGUGAGGAUUAUCUAGAAAUCUACUCACAACAACUCAAUAUAAUAGGAUCCCAAGGACUUCCAUUCAAGUUACCCAUCCUAGUAUGUAAUGCAACAAGUAGAAUGCCAAAAUCACUUUCAAAAUAAGUAUUAUCGUUUGCUAUUAAAUCACUUUCCAAAACUUAUUUACAAAAAUGCCAUANNNNNNNNNNNNNNNNNNNNNNNNNNNNNNNNNNNNNNNNAGUUUUAAAACACAAAAUUAAUAAUUAGAGAUGAGUGCUUUUGGUAACUCACCUCAACUUCCAAUAAAAAAAAAUAUAUGUAUUUCCUUAGAACAUCUCCAACCCAUCUCCAUUUUCCCCCAUAAAUGGAGUAAAAAAUGGAGUAAAUAGUGUUUCAUCUCCAACCCUACUCCAUUUUCUACCCAAUUUUUUACCCCAAAAAGUAUAUUUCUUUAAUAUUCUAUUUUUAUAACUUAUAUAUAUUGUCAAAUACACCCCUCUACUAAUUAAACUCUAUAUCUAUGAUUAAUUAAUAUAAAUUAGUAUAUAACAUGAUAUUAUAAAUAUUAAAUAUUGCAUAUAAAUUAUAAUUAGUAGAUAAAAUAAACUAAAAAUGUAUAAAAUAAGAAUGAUAGGGACUAAAAUUGACAACCAAAAUUCACCUCCAUUUUUGGAGAUAUGAAUAGUAUUCCCCCAUAUAUGGGGGAAUACUAUUCAUAUCUCCAAAAAUGGAGGUGAAAAUGGGGUAGGGCUAGAGAAGAAUGGGGGAAAAAAAUGGGGGAAGAAAUGGAGUUUGGGGGUGGGUUGGAGAUGCCCUUAGUGUGCUCCCUAAUGAAUCUCCUUUAAUCAUUUCCUAUAAGAUAUAUAAUAAAUUACUGAAAAUAACCAAAAUACCCCUAGUGCAUUAAAAUUCUCAACUAUCUAAUUGUUCAUUAUUAACCUAAUUAGGAAUUAUGGAAGUGAAAAAUGUUGGAUUUAGGUGUCUAAGUUGAUAACUAAAUUGAUAUAUACUUGUAAUUAGAAGCAAAGUCCUUUUGGAUUGCUCUCAUAACUAGAAACUGAUUAAAAUGACAUUUAUAGAGAGAGAAUAAUUUAUUAGUUUAUUAUAUGAUUAUUAAAUUUAUUGGAAAUAGUAUUAAUUAAUUUAGAAUUAAUUAGAUUUAAUUAUGUGUUAAUUAGAAUUAACUGAGAGUGCAAGAGCUGACUUGUAAUUGUUUAAUAGUUGAACAAAGGAGAUGUUCCAGAAGCUUCCUAUGAUGGACUAUUUUGGAAUGCCCAAUUAGGGUUUCUAGAAGCCUCAUUUAGAUAAUUCGGAAACCAGAUAAUUACUGAAUUUGAAAUAUUAUUUUUAUAUGUUCAAAUUUAAGGUUUCUAGGGUUUCCAAGUACUUAUAUAAAGAGUUGUAUCCAUAAAAUUUUCGGCUACACACAUACACAUAAGAAUUUUGAAUUUUUGCAUCUCCUCCCCUCUCUCACUUUGUUCUUCAAGUUUUGUAAGUUUUUUGAAGUGGAAGUGAAAUCUCUCUUGUAUUUGUAAAAUUCAAUCUAGAUUUGAAGUUUUUGUUCAAAUAUGUUGUUCUCUACACAUUCUUUCAUUUGAUUCAUUCUUGAUUUAUGUUUGAGAAAUGAAGUAGAAGAAGUAAUUCAGAUUUUAUUCUCAGAUUUGUGCUUAGAUAUGUUUUCUCUCUAUAGAAAUCUAUUCAGGUAUGUUUUUCUCUCUCUUUAAGCUUUGUUUCUUAUUGAAGAUCUAAUGGAUUCAUAAAUUUCAAUGUUGUUAACUUCCAUUAGAAAACUUAGAUUAAAAGUUACAGAUCCAAUUGAUGGUGUUAAAAGAGGAAAUGAGUGGCAUGUUUUUGAUUUAUCUAAAUUGAAGAAUGCUUAUGAGAUAUAUAAUCUUUAUGCUGAUGAGAAGAUAUGUGGUCAGAUAUCAUGUGAUGGAAUUGGGGCUUGUUUACAAGAUGAUAAGGAUUUAAUGUAUCAAUUUCGUAUUAUCAAAAUACAUUAAGAUUGGGAAAAUAGACAACAGAUUUUAAAGAUGAAAAGAGAAGAAAAAAAAGAUUCAAUGAGAAAAUAUUCUUGUGUUUCUUAAAAUUUGGGUGUUAUUGAUGUUCUUGAUAAAGUUCAUGAUAUUCUUCAUGUUUCGGAGACAACUGUGACUCCAUAUGCUUUUGUUGAGGGGAAUCAAGUGUUUCAUCAAAGUCUUGUGAUUUAGAAGCCACACACUCCGAAUCUGGUGUUUUGAAUGAUGAAUCACAAAGGAAAUCUCUUGAAAUCGUGAAAGUGAACAUGUUUUCUAUUGGAACUCAAACUGAUGAUUCUUCAUGUUCUUGUAAUUCGUUUGAAGGAAUGGUGCCUUACAGAAAACCUAUCAUUCAAGAUGUUCAAAUGUACAAAACUUAAAAUGUUUGUGUACCAAAGGCUUUUGAUGCUCAAAUUCCAAAAGGUGAUGAGCUUGUUCAGAUCCAAAAAUCAGUUUUGAAGUCAUGGAAUUUGAAAAAAAAAGAAAGGUGAAAAAGGUUUGGGUGCCAAAAGUGAAAAUUUCUCAUGUUCGUGAAAAAGUUAAGAAAAUUGAAACCAAGCUUGUUGAUUCGCAAAUUCGUUCUCAGAAGUUUGUUAGAAGUUGGUGAAAAUAGAAAAUGUUCUAUGGUUGGUUCUAUGAGAUAUUUGAUAAUUUUUAUGUUCCAACUAAGAAUCCAAUAUUAAUUUUUUUCUCAAUAUUCAGAAAUGGUUUCUUGUUCUGAUCUGAAUGUUUCUCCAAAGCAAUGGGUGUGCAAAGGAUCAUCUUCGACUCUCAAUCUCAAAUGGGCCUCUAAAAUCUCAUGUUAAUUGUCAAAGCUUAUUUUGAGGGGGAGCUUAUAUAUGAUCCAUUGCAAUAUUAUGAGACUUAUUGAAGUUUUGUAUGUCAUCAGAAGCAUUAUUCCAAAAGAUCAAGAAGCAUAUGAAAGUUGUACUUUAUGCUUAGUCAACAAUACUAUAGAAUAGUGACCGGUAAAAUGGGUUUAUUGUCGCAUUUUCUUUUGUCGGCUGCUGUCACACAAAUGACAAAGGAAAGCUACUGAUUUCGUAUAAAGUGAACGGAAAAGUAUUGAUUGUGAUCGUUUAUCAUGUUGACUUUUCAGAUUGGAUUCAUCUACAAAAGUUGAUGUUGUCUCAUUUCCUCCAGCACGUCAGAAAAUGGGUGUUCAUCAAAUAUGAUCAGAAAAAGCUAUGAUUGCGACAACAUAGGGUUGACAAAAGCUGAUGAUGCAUUUAUUGAUUCUGAAAUGCUGAUUCACAUUUAUUUGUCUCAAAAAAUUUGACAAGUAAUCAGAUCCAUUGACUUCCAACAAGUAAGAAAAGUAAAAAUGGCAACAACUCUUGUAUUUUGAUUAGUCAAAUCUGGUCUCGUCAAAGGAAACUUGUGAUAGCUAGAGUAUUUGUUCAUCAGAAAUAGCUUGUUUAUCAAGAUUCUUCUCAGAAAUAGUGUAAAAGUGUGUUUGGAAGAUCUUGUAUGUUAUCUUAACAGUUGGAAGUGAAAUAAUCGAGUAUAACAAGUGUGUGUUUUUGAACGAUGUUAAAAGUCAAACGUUUUGGAGAUUUGAGCAGCAAAAUUAGAAAAUUUUGAUGCUUUUCGCAUAAAGUGAAGCUAGUUGGGAAAAAGAGAAAGUUAUUUGCAUCAGAUGAUGUGAUUAGUCAGUUAAGUCAGAAAUGUUGAAUGGGACAAGUCUUUAAAUGUCGGCCAUAUCUAAAAAUUAAAAGUUGCAGUUCUGAAAAAGUGACUAACACGAAAUUAAUGCCAUCAGAUCUAACAUAUCUGAAAGAAUGAAAGCGACAUGACUAUUGGUUCUCUGGAAAAGGCGUGUUUUGAAGAGUAUGUUCGUAGAAAGUACCGUUUUGGAGACCAUGUUCAUCUAAAAAAGUAUUUCUUGGAGAAUGUGCUCGAAAGAGUUGCACAUCUCAAUUCCUUCUGAGUUGCGAACAUAUUUCAGAAAUAUGAAUUUUUUUUAUGACUUCCGAGAUGCUGCGAGCGUCGGAACUAAUCGGAAUUUGAAUUUUGGAGGUUUGGUUCUCUCGCACUUUGAAGAUAUUUUUUUUGGUAACUCUCAUAAAAGCGUUCUUACGUUUGUUUCUUAACUAUUUCUUGGUCUAAAACACUCAAAAACUCUUCUUAUUUUUGUUUCUUAUCUUUUCAUUUGGUCUGAUUCUCAAAAACAUGAAAAUAACAAAAAUAUGUUUUUGUUCUUUCUUUCUUUUGAAGCCUCAGAAAAUCGAAAAUCCAAUAAGAUUUUCUGUUUCUUUUUGUUUUGGAAUCAGAAUAACCCUAAACAAGGCAAAAAGAUUGUGCUUUUAGUUUGUGUUCUUGAAGAGUACUGUCUGGAACCAAAAUGCUAUGGUUCACCUCUAAAAUGUUUUGGUAUUCGGAGGCAAUCGGAAUUUCAAAGCUCGUUAUGGUUUCACAUUUUGGUGUUUUACCCGUCGGUUAAAGCUAUUAUCUCGUAGUUACUUGUGUAUUUUGUCGACUUUUCGCGGGUUCUUUGAAAUUUAUGAUGUUAUUGCAAAAGAAUGGGUACAAAAGUGCAAUGUUUUAGUGUCAAAUCUUAUUUGCACGUAUUUUUGAAGAUGAUUUUAGAUCUAAUGGGUUUUGAAGAUCCAUGUUAGCCUUGGGAAAGAUUUCAUGUUUGCAAGUCAACUUGCUUGUGGUUAGAGUAGGUUGUUGGUGGUUUUGAAACUUCUUAACUUUCUAAAUCCUCUCCAUAGUAUUUGUCGAAGAUUCAAGGGGGUGUUCGCAUUUCAGAUCUAUAUGCCUUGCUGAUGAUAUUUUUUCAUAUCUGUUCCUCUCUCUUUGAAGCCCCAUGUUCUGAUGAGUCUCACAAUUUAAGGGGGGUAAUGCCAAGAAGAUGUAAAUCGUGAUCUUCAUCACUUUUGACAUUUAGCGGGAGAUUGUAGAGUAUUGAAAAUAUUGAAACUGAUGUUGCCAUUGUGAAGGCAUUUGUGGUGAAGGCUUUGAUUGAAGACAUUUCAUGGAGUAUCUUUUGCUUAGUGGUUCCUUUGUUUAUUUUGACAUGUGAUGUAUUUAACCACUAUAUAUAUAGCCUUUAGUUUAGCUUGUUAGGUAAGCUUCUCUAAUCUCCCUUUCUGUAUCAGCUUCAGAUUGGUUGAGAAAAACUAAGGGUCUUUGUAUGUUCCAUUUCUUGAUCAAUAAUAUACAAAAUCUUUGACUAGAUUACUUGCAAUUAAUGUGAUUGAUUCAUGAUCGAUUACAAUUCCAAACACGUCAUUUUGUUUUGGACUUCAUAGAUUUCCAUGCCCUUAUCAGCCUAAUCCGAAUGUAGGUUUAUUUUUUAGUGAUUAUUUGUUUUGAAUCUGUUAAAAAUCCUAUUUUUUAUUCAAAAUAUAUGACUAAAAUCCUAAUUUGGAUUUUAAGGAGAUAAAUAUGGAAAUAUAAUUUUUAAUUAUAAGAUAAUUAAAUUGAAAUAUCCUUACGGAUUUUAAUAGUACAUUUAAUUAAAUGCUUACUUAAAAGGAAAAUACUAAAUCCAUAUAUGGUUUAGUGAUUAAUUAAUUAAAAGUUUAAUUUAGAUAAUUAAUAGUUAAACCUUGUGUUAAAAUUUUUAAAAUAUACCAUAUACAUAUAUUGGUGCUAAAGUUUUCCACAGGUGAACAAUGGAAUCAAUGAAUUGUUUUCUAUAAGAAUUGAAAGGUAUGCAACCAUACUUUUGUAGAUUUCGAUUUUUACUAGGGUUACGUUUCUUGUUGUUCAUUGUAUGUUGCUUUGAAUUUGUGAAGACAUAGAUCCUUAUAAGUUGCAUGCACCAUUAAUUUUUAAGAGCUUUUCCGUAUGUACAUGAAUGUUAUAACCUGUAAAAUCCAUCAAAAAAUAGGUCAAACGGAGAAGCCAAACCCUGAGAAAUACAAAAUUUUUCACCAUCACAAUAGGAAUUAUGCGUUGGGGUACACAUGGUGUUCUUCACUACCCAUCUCAAUACGCCUCGCAUUUUACAAGUAAAUGCCUCAUGUUCAAGAAAUAUUCCUUUGUUACGAAAUAUACUUUACAUUACGCAUCACGUUAUGUAUUGUAGAAUACCAAGUCCAACUUUAACUCAGUUUUUACCAUUCUCUCUAGCAUCAAUAAUUGUGGUCACUAAUGGAACUCUUUUGUACAACCACUAUGGAUUCCCAAAUCUUACUUGAAGACAUUUAGACAUUUUAAUCAUUUGACUUAAUCCGUUAAGUUCAUCACAAUGAUUUUUUUGGUUUCAUUGAUCAUCAAAUUCUUCUUAUGGAAUCAAGUCCUCAAAAUGUCCAAAAGGCUAUCAUGUAGCUUUUCCAAUCAAUUUAAGAUACAAUUUGCUUAUAAUUGAUACAUUUACCUCUUCAUUGAUCCUUUAAAUUAUUGUAACUUAAUUCUAACCAUGGAAUUCAUUAUUUCUUCUCCUAAAUUCCCAUUUUUCCUUCAUGGCUAAAAAUCCCAAUAACCACUUGUAGAUCUGAUCAUUAAUUUUUGGCAUCCAAAUCACUUACAAUGUAUCAAUUCAUAAGCUAGAACAUCAUUUACACACAAAGAUGCUUGAAAUCAAUUAAAAUCCAUCAUGCAUCCAUUGAAUAAAUAACUCAAAAUCAUUUAGGAAACAAGUUAAAAUUAAUAAUCCCCAUUUUGAAAUUUAGGGUUCAAAGCUAGAUUUUUACUAAAACUUCAAAUAUCUCAAAUGAAUAAUAAGAUUCAACUUAGAAUCAUAGAAACCACUCAAUAAGGGUUAGAAAGCAAAACCCUAACCAUCAGUUCGCUCAUAAAAUGAAUUUGAGUUUCUACCCCAUUCUCAAACUCGUAAUUGAGGUUGAAGAUAAACUGGUGGGGAGUUAUACCUUCCAAGUAUUUUAUUACUUCCAAUGUUGCACCAAAUGAUCAAUGUUUGAUUGAAUCAAACCCUAGCAUGAUUUCCUCCCAAAAUCACCAUUGGAGUUCACUCUAAGCUCUAAAAAGCCAACAUACGAGGAGUGAGAGGGAUUUGAUGCAUCUUAUUCCUCGUAAUUUGUAUAAUAUAACCCAUAACAAUUACUACCAUCUUAUAAAUUUGAAGGUUGUCACCUUUGGUCAUUUACCUUCCAUUUUAUGAAUUUUCUAGUCCAACAUUAAUUAAGUGAGUUGAUCCUUUGGCCAAACACACUUUCUUUAAUUUGACGUUUUUAACUCUAAAACUCAAAUUGUUAUAAUUUUACCAUUUAAACUUUCCAACUUAUAAAUUAAACUAUUAUUAUGAUUAUUUUAAUUAUUCUCAUUAUUUUAACUAGUUUACUUAUUUAUUUAUUAUUCUACUCAAAGGUUCUAAACCCAAAAAUAAGGUGUUGCAGUAUGCCUAAAUAAGAAAUUCACCCAUAAGAAAUAGAGGGGGUUCCUUAAACUGAUCUCAUGAAGUAAUUCUGAUUUAUCCACCACAUCGAAAGCAUUUGAGAAAUACAAUAUAAGCAUUGUAAGAUUCAUAUUAGUGUGUCAUUCACACAACACCCUAUUGACGGGGUGCAAUACGUGCUUAGCGCCAAAUGACAUAUCAACCCUGAAUUAAAUAUUAUUAAUGUACUUUUGUGUUUCUUUACCAACUCUUUUAAUGUAAACAUUAAAAACUAUGCUUCUUCAGUUAGUGUUCGCAUAAAUAGGAUCGAUCAUAUUUUUGGGAUUUAUGAGUGGCAUAAGAGGAGUAAAGACAAUAAACUCUGCCAAACUUGACGAACAUAUUCCUUAACCACAUAUUAACCUCUACGCCGAUUUCUUAUAACUGACAUGUAGCUAUAUAAGCCAUAUUUCCAUAUACAGCAUUCGGGAUAUGUUGUUCCCUUAAUUCGUCUUUCCUAUACGAAGUUCCUUUACAAAAUGAUUUUGCAUGAUAAAGGACUCAAUCAAUCUCUACUACAACGAGAUGCUCAAAAAAUAAUACGGUCGACAUGGAUGGGGUAGAUUGUAUAGAUGUUAUCCUCUAGACUUCAUGGUAUCACCACCAUACAGAGCAACAUCGGAAGAACAUUACACUUUCAUUACUAUUGUAAAUUUCGCAUUAACAACCUUACAUGGACACAACGUAAUGUUGGUGUUUCCUAUUGCUUUCUCUUGUUGAAUGUCAUAUUCCCUUGUCCCAGAUAUCUCAGCGUUGAACUGUCUAACGUAUUUUUAACUAAAAUGACGAUGUCAUACUCAUUCCUCAAUGUAGCUAGUGAAUAUAGGAUAGAAUGAUGUAACAAAGACUUCCUAUUCCCAUACCUACUUUCCUACUUAUUCUAAGGUCUAAACACAUACAAAGUGAAACGAGUAAAAAAUUAACAACAUAACCCACACUUCAAUGGAUCCCGACUGGGCAACUAGAUCUGGAAAAAACUAACUCAGCAUGAUAACUUGACAUGAACCCGACAUAAAAUAAAUAGGUUUAGGUAAGAGAUUUCAACAUGUUUAAGUAAAUUGGUUGACACAACACAAAACAUAAAUUAAAUUGGUAAGAUUAGGGUCAAGUUCUUAUAACCCGUUUAAUAUUUCAAUCCAUCAUGACUUGAUGCGUUUCACAAGUCUAUGGGAAAACCACCCUACAAAAAAACUAUUUUCAACACCUAAAAGAAAACAAGACAAAAUUAUGCAAGAUACUUUUCACAAUAGUGUUAGGUGCUUCGAAGAAAAUAUCUAAAAGUUCAACAUUCAAUACCAACUCCUUAUUUACAUUGGCCUCAAACUCUUUGGUAGACGACUUUAACAUGCCAACAGUAUGUCCAUGUAUGUUACUAUCCCAUCUAUUAAACAUACAAGACCAUUUAGGCGAUGUCAAGCAUGACUAGCUACAUAUAUAUACUUAUAUACCUUCCACGCAUCCAUUGAUCAAACACAUUCAGUAUUUCAUCCACUGCUAUAAACAAUCGUUGGUCUGUAGAAAUCUCUCACAAUACACUUUUGUGUUUAUUAGUAAAAAAGUAUAACCUCUUGAGAUGAGAUGUCAUACAAGAAAUUCUUGUAUUUUCACUGCACACAAUGAAUUCCCUUGAAUAGACAAUCUAUGUCACUUUGUAGUUAUAGAUGAUGAUGUCAUAAAAAUAGACAAAUUGCAUUAAGUCUCGAGUAGAAGCUUUAAAUUUGAUACAAAUAUCCAAAACAUGACAUUUUAAUAAACAAUUAAAUAUUUGGUUUGCACAAAGUGUACGCUUUGACAACUUUUCAAAACAAUGUAAAAGAUAAUAAUGUCAAAAGUUUACACAUAAACCCAUAUUGUUUUUGUAUGUAUGUUUUUUUUUUAAUUUAAUAAGACUUUAUCCGUUAUAGACAAAAAGAAGAAAGAGGAAAAGGUAAGUUUUCAUAUCGUAAGGACUAAGCAUUAGGGAUAAGCAUAGGUGGGUAUCCAUCUCAUUUGGCAAGAACCGGAACCUGAACUGACGGUUCCUAGAAAUUGUGAAUCGGAACCAGUUCGGUCUAGGCAGUUCUUAAAUUAUUGGAACCAGUCCUGGAACCAACGGUUCUAGUUCUACGAGCGGGCAACCUGGUUACAUCAGUUAUAUUAACUUUUGUCAUUAAAACCGCAAUUUAGUUUGGUCCAAAUCGAAUCAAUUCGGACCAAAGACGGACAAAAUCGGACCAAUAUAUUCUAAACCAGUUUAAAUAACAUAGACAUAUUCAUAUAUAUAUAUAUACAUGUUCCGACGGGUACCUAUUGGAUAGCGGUUCUGAAAAAAAUGAGAAUUGGAACGAACCGCUUAAGGCGGUUCCAUAACUUUAGGAACCGGAAUUGGAACUGCUUAAAGCGGUUCACUGAGAGUUCCGAGACGAUUUUGGUUUUGAAAACGGGUACCCAGUUCCGAUGUUCAUCCCUACUAAAGAUUACUCCAUGUUGAUUGCAUUAGAUACAAUGCAUAACUCACACAAACCAAAUAUAAGGACACAUUGGAAUUUUUGGUACCCCAAAAUUCCUACCAAAUCAAACAAUAAUCAUCCAAUUAUUUAUUAUCUUAAACAACAAAUGUUAAGUCUAAUCUUGUCUAAUGCUAUAAAUUUCAUUUAUACAACUUGUCAAUAUCUCUAAGAAAAAAAGACUAUCUUUUUAGUGGUGUUUGAGAAAGCUUUUUAAAAUGACUUAUUAACUUAUUGUUUUUUUUUCAAGAAGAAAAAUAGUAAGUUCAAAAAAUGUUUAGUAAACACUAACUUUUUAGUGAAAAAAAUGAUUUUUUUUUUCUUCAGAAAACCAGAAUUUUUGACUUUUCCAAAUGGUCAAUAAAGAGUUUGAGAAGCAAUCGCAAAUACAUCUUUAAAAGUUUGAAGGAAUAAAUUCAACUAUGCAAGGGCAAAUUACGUGUUAUUAAACAAUCGACUAAUUUGAUCUUCAAUUUCAUAUCGAAAAGCACCCGUUAUUAUAUAUUUGUGUUUGAAAAGAACCUUACAUCGUUCUUUUAUUCUUUUGUUACUAGAAAAGACCGAUUUAUAUUUUAUUAUCUAUAUUUUUUAUUUGGCGUGGCCCUCACAUUUCAUUGGCCUUGUACUAAAUUCAAUUUAAAACCCUAUAAUUUUUCAGUAAAAUGUUAUUAAAUAAAUUUUCUACUGUUAAAUUCAAAACAUAAAAUUGGAUAUAAGACCACAAGAACGAAAUAACUAUCAACAAGUUUUAGUUAAAUUACAAAUUAUCAUUCAUAUUGUUAAAGUCAAGAAGUUUUAGUUAAAUUACAAAUUAUCAUUCAUAUUGUUAAAGUCAAGAAGUUUUAGUUAAAUUACAAAUUAUCAUUCAUAUUGUUAAAGUCAAGAAGUUUUAGUUAAAUUACAAAUUAUCAUUCAUAUUGUUAAAGUCAAGAGUAUUUACACAUUAAUAAUUAACUAAAGGUGAUAAAAUAAUUUUCCAAAAAAGAUUAAAAAAAAUCAAUAUAUUAUUAUUUUUAAACAUCAAUCUUGUAGUAUUUUAAGAAACAAAUUUAUCUAUUAUAUUUUAAUGUUCAACAUUUUUAAGAAACCUCAGUUCAUUUCUAUAAUGAAUAAGUUAUUUAGAAACUGUAAAAAUGGUACAUGUAGUAUGCAUUUUUUCCAAAAAAUGUUUAAAACACUAAACUUUUGGAUUGAUGGUUUUUUUGAGCAUGUUUGUAUGCAUUUUUGGUCCAUCGAAAAAAUGAAAACACUAAAUUGUCCUUUUGAUAUAUUUUCUAUGCUUUUUCUAUUUAAUUUUAAAGUUUUAUUAAUGAAGAGUAUGGGGUCGCGCCCUCUCUCUUACAAUCUCUCUCUCUCUCUCUCUCUCUCUCUCUCUCUCUCUCCUUAACUAAUGAACUUCCCAUCGGAAGCCUUAAUUGGAGAAACCCACCACCAUAAAUUCACACCUUACACCAUCACUACUCUUCCAUCAACCCCAUUGGCAAGCACCCACCAGUUAUCGAGCCUCCUCACCACACCUUCAUCCUAGAUUAUCUUAACCUUAGAUAUCGUCAUCUCCACACCCAUUAAAGCUGCAGAAAGUCAAGUUCAAAAGGAAGCCACUACUCUUCAUUUUUUAUUCUUAUACACACAAGAAAAGUGAUGGGUGGGGGUGAGAGCACACAUGCGUAAGAGAAAGCUUUUGAGGGUAAACCUCAAGCCGGAAACUAUCAUGGAUGGUGACCCCUAAAUUGUCGGUAAAAGAUGCAACUGAACCGUCAUCGACCACUGGACCACUCUUCCCUCUAUAUCUUUCACACCCCUCUCUCUAAUAUUUGCCACAAGUUUUUUCCAGAGAACUUACGACAAAUGUAACAUUUGAAUUCCCGGAGGUAUAUAUUUUUUAGUUUUAAUUUAUAUUUUGGAAGUGACCACGUCGUGGUGAAGGCAUACCACGACGUGGUAAUGCUGGCAGAUUCGCAUAUUAUUUAAUGGUAACCACGAUGUGGUAUCCCUUGGCCACGCCGUGACGGCCUUGUGUCGUGAUAACAGUAAUUUUCAGGUAUUUAAAGGAAAGUGGGGAGGCAUGGGUUGCCCAUCUUCAGCCUCCAUCACUCUCAAACCUAGAGUGUAACAUCCCAAAAAUUAUAAGGUAAAAAUUUCAUUUUAAAUUUAGAAACACCAAUUAUCUUUUUUUCCAAUCAUUCAAAGAUCAUUUCAGAAAAAAACAGUUAUCAGAGUACCAUUCCAAAAUCAUAUAGUUAUAGAAACAUGGGUAGAUGCGCUGCGAUCAAGUCGGGUCCUUCCCUUUCGAACUGUAAGUAAACCUUAACCAUAAAAAUCGUUAGCACAAAGCUUAAUGAGCUCCCCAAAAUACCACAUACCAUAUAUACAAUAGAGAUUGCUAUGUACCGACCAUAUCCCUACCAUUAUGCCAUGACCCGUUUCAUAGUCUUCCUAUGCUAGGCGGGGGGCCAAAACCCUAGGUCUUACAAUCAAGUGCCAAGAGCUACAUCCUGGUCUUCCAUACAAGAAUCACAAAGACAACUAGCAUACUAGCUACACACACACACACACACACACAUAUAUAUAUAUAUAUAUAUAUAUAUAUAUACCUAUCUACUAGGGUCUGAUCCCUAGUCUUGCAUAUAAUUUUUCGGGAGCCACCUUCGGGCCUUUCAUACAAAUGUCAAGGGCCACCCCCUCGUCUUCCUAUAUAACAUAAAUCAAUGGGCCGACAUUGGUGCCUUCGAUCCAUAGUAUAUUGAGGAGACUCACGUCUAACUGCUGAAACCACCAAAUAAAUGCUCGGCUUGUUGAUCCGAUAAAUCCCCGUGCUAAUUAAUCAUAUUAAACCCUAAUUAAUAAUUGGGCCAUAAACCAUAACUAGGAAUCUCAUUCAUAUGUUCAACUCCCAGGGUGAAAGACCGUUUUACCUUUGCCGAACUUGGCCCAACUAAUCCAAGCCCAAAACCCUAAAUGGCCCAAGGCCCAAAAUCGAUCCAAUGGGCUUCUAAGAGAACGAAUGACGUCCACUUAAUGAUGCUUUUCGUCCAAACGCGCAACGUUCUAACCCAAAUGCAUGGUGUAACCAUAAAAUACCAAAUCCUUAACCAUGGUCUUAAUGGCUUAAGACCUAAUGUUCAAACAUCAGAUCCAAAGCUAAAAGAAUGUCUAAAGUCAUAAAGUUGCAGCCUUUAUGAAUUUGCAAGGCUACAAAGAGCCAAACAUCCAAAAUAUAACUUAAAUCACAAUCUAAAGUUCCAAAACUCUUGCAUGGAAGAGUAUCAAGGUCCAAUCUUGCAUUUUUAUGAUUCUAAACCCUCCAAGAUGCUUGAAAGGACAGCCCAAACCUCUCGGGCAUUCCAAACUAACAAAAUUCAAGUUCUUGGGACCGAAAAGAACAUAAAACUAUAUUUAAGCAAGAUCUAAUAAAGGAUUCAUCAAGAUAUGAACUUUAUACCUUCAAAUGGUGCUCCAAGAUGCCAAGAGUCUAGAUCCAAAGGCUAGAGAGCAACACCAACACUCCAAAGAUCUUCCUUCUCAACCAAGAACACUAAAAUGAUAGGCUUCAAAACACUCACACACACUUAGGGUUUCAAAAUGAGGGAUGUAAGGGAUGGAGGCUGGAGAUAAGAAACGUUUUGAGGCUAUAAUGGCCUUUAAAUAGGGUGCAAACCCUAAAAAUUACGGUUUGUCAUCUGCGGGCGAAUGCCUAGCGUCCACAAACUUAUGCCCGGCGUUCCAACGCCUAGCGAACUCCAUUCCCAAUGCUUGGCGUUUGGGACCAAAAUGCAAAGUUAAUACAAAGCAAGGCCAACAAUGCAACUACUUGUAAACUGGCGUUACAAAUCUCCCCCACUUGAAUCAUACUUUGUCCUCGAAGUUCGUUGUCGCAAAUAAAUUUGGGUAAUCCUCCCUCAUCUCGUCAUUAGGAUCCCAUGCCCAUUCAGGCCCCUUUCGGUGUUGUCACUGCACCUUCACCAACUCCACAACCUUGUUCCUCAAGGUUUUUGUCUUAUUAUCAAAAAUGAAAAUCGGUCUCUCAAUAUAAUUCAUACCCUACUGGAACAUGGGUGUUACAACUCUCCCCCACUUAAAUUAGAUUUCGUCUUCGAAAUCACUUCUCACUACAUUCCAGUCACCCAAAUGAUUCUAACAAUACUCCGAAAAGACCGAUAAAAGUCGACUCAGACAUAAAACGACCUUAUGAAACUAUAACCGAACCCAACCUUAGCAGUGCUUUCAUACCUUGAAGACGAACAUAUCCUUCCCCCACUAGCGUUAACCACUGAAGAAUAUCCAUUACUACUCUGCCUGAAAUCCAAAUCCUAAAACCUUGUCUGAAUUCCCGACAGACAGACCAUUCCGAAACACUACCAAAUCGAAUCCACUUCGCAACCUAACUAAGCAUAAAACCUUCCAACCCUAGACCAUCUUGUUGUCCCAUAAUUACAUUCCUGAUGCAAUCGAGACCUCCUUGGUCUCAUACUUACCUACCAAUUCACCAAUAUACCGUAUUUCCAACCGAUUGUUGAGGCUGACGGCCUCACACAAUCGCACCACACGACUCCUGACCGAGGGUCUAUCUGGCAAGAGAUGUCCUAGCUUGCUUGCCAUAAUAGCUCCAACAGCCCUCCUAAUCCAUCCAAGUAUAACGUAACCAACCAUUACACUGAUGCAACAUAAUCUACUUUUCUAUAAAUGAACAUUACAUGACCAUCUGUAGUUUUAUAUCACAACCAGCCCCAUACUACCCACAACCUUUCUUAAUUUCAUGAAUGUAGUGGCCUUCCUACAAUCUCACGACUUGAACUGCUAUGGUCUAAUCCCACCUAGAGGAAACUAUGAGCCAAAUCAUAGAUUCAUCAUACUCUCACAGCUACUUAUGGACCAUGUGAAUGCUACGAGCCACCCCGCAGUCUUACAACACUACCACACUACCUGCUAACCUAGUGAAUGCUAUGACCACCCAUACAGUCUUACAACACUUUUAUACUAUCCGCCAAUCUAUUGAAACGCUACGGCCACCCAUAGUCUUGUUGGAAUAGUGUCUAAGGCUGUAACUAUAUCCGGUUGUGCAUGGUCCUUUUGGGUUGCCUUCACCAUAGCAACUUGAUAGGAUGAUUUAUUAAGAGAGAAUAAAUAUUAUUAAUAUAUUAUGGGAAUAAUAUAAUGAAUAAUAUAUUUGUUAUUUGAUUAAUAUAAGUCAUAGAAUUAAUUAGAAUUAAUUUGGUGACUUAAAGAGAUUAAUUAAAUAAAGGGGUAUAAACUGUCAAUUGUUUGAUAGUUAAGCUUUAAACUGUAAAUCCAUUUGGAUAUACUAUGGACGAAUUCUAAGAGGAUUAGGAUAGCUAAAAUCGUCCAUUAGAGUUAUCUAGGAAUGGAUUUGGAUAGCCUUAAGAGAAGAUUAUCUGAUAGGGACUUAUCUGUAAUCCUUAAGGAGUCUACAAGUAUAAAUAGACCCCAUGGCAUAGGGAAUUCGACACUUCUGAAAAAGCAAGAGAACUCUGGUCGAAUUCCUCCCCUCUCCUCUCUCCCAAAUCAUCCUCCUUGCUUUGGUGUUUGUAAGCCAUUAGAGGAGUGACAUUUGUGACUCUAGAAGCUCCAAGACCUCAAGAUCAACAAGGAACUCAAAGGUAUGAUUCUAGAUCUGUUUCAAUGUUCUUGUUUAACCUAAUUAGUAAUUAGAAGUCUUGGAUUCAAAGCAUGUUUAUUAGAAAGCCUAGAUCCAAGCAUUAGGGUUUUGCAUGCGCACAUAGGAAAGUUCUUAUGGCUAAAACCCAUCAGUGGUAUCAGAGCCUAGCUUGGUUUUCUGUAAAUUGUUGCUUGAUUAACUGAAACAAACCUGCAAAAUUCGAUUUUUUGGUUUCUGAGUCAUGGACUCGGCGAGUCUCAAAGUGGACUCGGCGAGUAGGCCUGACUCGGCGAGUCCAUUUGUGCACUCGGCGAGUCCAGGCGUCAGGAAUGGCCAGAUUCGGGAUUUCUUUGUGUUUAUCUUAUCUUAACUUACCAUAAACUAAUUAGAUCAACAUUAAUUCGUUUUUCUGAUAAAUAUAACUAUUAUCUUGAUCUAGUUAAAGGUAAUUAUCAACUAAUUAAAUAUUUAAUUUCCUUAUAUGAUAAUUAAUUAAUUAUUUUGAUUAUUUUGGUAAUUAUCUUAAAAAGAAAUCUUGAAUAAAUCAAAUAUAGAUAAUUAGGAUAUUAAUUGUUAAUUGGAAUUAUUUGUUAUUUGAUCCUCCAUGUUUUAAAUGUUUAAAACCUACCCUCAUGUUUUGAAAUUUACUUUUGUGAUUAAAAGUUUUAAUUUAGACAACUUAAAUUUCAAACCCUAGAUUUUAAAAGUUUUAAAAUACAACCCUAUACUAAUAUGAUAUUACUAGAAUAAUAUAUAUAUGUAUAACUAAAUGCUAGUCUUACCGUUAGUAGGCCUCAUUCACGAAGCCGAUCUAUAAGGUGGGUAUAAGGUUGCGGCCUAUAAAAUGGCGCUUAAUGGGUGUACACUCACACCCACCGCUUGCUUGAUUGGUGGAGGGUCGUUAGCCGAACGGGUAGGAUAGGGCAACCUCAUCCUCUCAUUAAAAGUAUAAUAAGAAAUACAAAGUAACUACACAUAUUUUAAAAUUUCCCAAUCCUAGUUACUUUAGGAAAAGUGAAUUGAUGCAAUCCCAUGAAAUUACACUUUGCACCUUGCUAAGAUGUUAGUGGAGCGUGUGUGGUUUACCGGCACACUAAUUGGUUCUAAGCGAAGGUGGCAAAGGGUGAUUCAUUGUUUAUCAUAGUUCGAUGGAGCGUGUGUGGUUUACCGGCACAUCGAAUAGGUGAUCGUUACAAUGAAGGCACCAUGUGAAUUUGCAUGGUAAUUCACACCCGCUUUGUGAUCCUCGGCAUCCCAGUCACAAACAAGAGGGGCAUAUCGAGAUUUAAACAUGCCAUUGAAUAGUUUCAAUGAAUCUCAUCCGAACCUAGGAAUUCUCAAAAACACUUAGGACUAAUAGUUUAAGUUUUGUGAUGGAGAAUUAGUGAAUCGUCAUUCACUUACCUUCAAUUUAUUUGCAUGUUAGAUUACGGCAUCCCUUUUCUAGUAUGUAAAUGUUAUUGUUGGAUCCUAGCCCUAAUUUUCUUAUUGGGUGAUAAUUAGGGAUUCUUAUUCUAAUCUAUCUUUGUCCUUUUCUAAUUGUAGAUGUCGAACGCAAACAACGCUGCUGCUAGUUCUUUCACGUUGAUGAGCCUUUGCCAAAAGGUCACCUUCGAUGGAACGAACUUUAGCGAAUGGAUAAGAUACAUUCGCACCAUUGCUCGCUAUGAGGAUAAGGAGUAUGUCCUCGAUGAGAAGCUCGAGAAAAUCAACCCCGAAAUCGCUACUCCCGCCGAAAUCACCGCUUUUGAGACUCAUGAGCGAGAUGCAACGAAGGUACAUUGCAUCAUGAUCGCCACCAUGAACUCCGAAUUCCAAAAGUCCUACGAGGACAUGUACCCGUACGAGAUGCAUCAAGACUUAUUGGAGAGGUACCACCAAAACGCGAGACAAGAGAGGUACGAGAUUUUCACUAACAUGAUUUCCGCGAAGAUGGGUCAUGGAGAAUCUCUUACCGUGCACUUGCAAAAGAUGCAAAGGUAUGUCGACCGCCUUCGCAAGUUAAAUGUUGACUUCGGUGAGGAUUUGGCGAUCGACAUGGUGCUUCACUCUUUGCCUCCGAUGUACAAUCAAUUUAGGAUGACCUACCACAUGAACAAAGAAGAGGUCACCCUAAGCAAGCUCCAAGGUCUCUUGAGGGUUGCUGAGAGCAACUUCAAAGACAAGUCUGUUGCACCUACUCCCAAUCCGCCCGCUGCUCCUGUCUUGGCUAUUGGACAAGGGAAGGGAAAGAAGAGGAAAGCUUCAUCGAAGAACUAUCGCAAGGUGAAAGCCCGAGAUGGUGCCUCUUCUAGUGGGACCAAAGUUGAUCCCGCUAAGCCCUGCUCUAACCCGAAGGAGGCAGAGUGCCACCACUGCCACAAGAUAGGACAUUGGAAGAGAAGCUGCCCGGAUUACCUGCAAGCAAUCAAAGAAGGAAAGAUCAAGCCAUCUUUCGCAGGUAUAUAUACAAUCAAAUCUAACGAUUCUAAUCAUGCUAUUUCUUGGGUUCUUGAUACCGGUUGUGGUUAUCACAUUUGUUCUAAUGUGCAGGGACUAAGAAGAAGUAGGGAUGUGGAGCAAGGAAGGAUCAAUCUAAUCAUGGGGAACAGAAGAUCGUCGCCUGUGACCAAGAUUGGAGUGUAUUCCUUAGUGCUUAGGAAUAGUUUAGUUUUAGAUUUGAACAAUUGUUGCUAUUCGCCAGAAAUGGCAAGAAACAUCAUUUCAUUUCAUGGUUUAUAUAGACAAGGAUUUAGAUUUUCUUUUAAUAAUGAGAAUGGUUCUAUUUUGGCUUAUCUAAAUGGUGUCUUUUACUUUGAAGCUAUACCAUGUAAUGGAAUAUAUGAAACCGUUAUGAUUGUUGAUAACUUAGGAAAUGAUGUUUUGAAUAUUGAUUCUUCCACUAGUAUGGAUAAAGCAUCCUUGUGGCAUUGUCGUCUUGGACAUGUCAACAAGAAACGCAUAGCCCAACUCCAAAAGGAUGGAGUGUUGGAGUCAUUCGACCUUAGGGAAGAUGACACAUGCGAGUCUUGUUUGCUUGGAAAGAUGACUAAGUCACCCUUCACGAGUACAUGUGAAAGGGGCGAGGGUCUAUUGGACCUAAUACAUACCGAUGUAUGUGGACCGUUUAGAUCAACCACGAAGGAUGGGAACCGCUUCUAUGUGACUUUUACCGAUGACUAUAGUAGAUAUGGGUAUAUCUACUUAAUCAAGCAAAAGUCAGACACCUUUGAAAAGUUCAAAGAGUUCAAGAAUGAAGUGGAGAAUCAAUUGGGCAGGAAAAUCAAGAUGCUUCGAUCCGAUCGAGGAGGAGAGUACCUAAGUCUUGAAUUCCACGAUUAUCUCAAGGAGUGUGGAAUAGUUUCACAAUUGACGCCUCCUAGGACACCGCAGUUGAAUGGUGUGGCAGAAAGGCGUAAUCGAACCUUAUUGGAUAUGGUUCGCUCUAUGAUGAGUCGUGCUUCACUACCAAUCUCUUUUUGGGGGUAUGCCUUAGAGACUGCCGCCCAUAUCCUUAACCGAGUCCCUACUAAGAAGGUUGCCAAAACACCUCACGAGAUGUGGACAGGGAAAGCUCCCUCGUUGGCACAUAUCAAGGUUUGGGGUUGCGAGGCUUUCGUAAGACGAGAUACUCACGACAAGCUUGAACCUCGAAGUGAGCGAUGUAUUUUCAUCGGCUACCCGCAGACAUCCUUUGGAUAUCUCUUCUAUAGACCGAAGGACAAUGUUGUCUUCGUUGCGAGGAGAGGAGUUUUCCGAGAGCGAGAACUCAUAAGCCAAGGAGACAGUGGGAGGCAAAUCGAACUUGAAGAGAUUCAAGAGUCGAUAGAUGAAGGAACCUCUACCGCUGGCACUCAACCCGAGGAGGAAACUCCGGUUGAACCGAUUGACGAAUCCUUACCUCUUAGACGUUCCGAUAGAGUUAGAGUUCAUCCCCAGUUUUAUGGCUUUCAUAUUACUACCGAAGGGGACACGUAUAUUAGUGAUGGUACACUAGUAAAUCUUGAUGAACCUAAUAGCUAUAAGGAAGCCAUGGCAGGCCCGGAGUCUGUAAAGUGGAAAGAGGCAAUGGAUAGCGAGAUCCAAUCCAUGUAUGAUAACCAAGUUUGGAAUUUGGUUGAUUACGUGCCCGGACGUAAGACCGUUGGGUGCAAAUGGAUCUUCAAGAAGAAGACCGACGUGGAUGGAAACGUACACACAUAUAAAGCGCGAUUGGUUGCGAAGGGCUUUACUCAAACUCCCGGAGUUGACUAUGAUGAGACCUUCUCACCAGUUGCGAAGAUUAAAUCUAUUAGAGUGAUGCUAGCAAUUGCCGCAUUUCAUGAUUAUGAGAUUUGGCAAAUGGAUGUCAAGACCGCUUUCCUUAACGGAAAGUUGGCUGAGGAUGUUUACAUGGCUCAGCCAGAGGGGUUUGUGGAUCCGAAGCAUCCGAAUAGAGUGUGUAAGCUUGAGAAGUCCAUUUAUGGACUUAAGCAAGCGUCUCGCAGAUGGAAUCUUUGCUUCGAUGAGAAAGUCAAAGAGUUUGGAUUUGUACGAAGCGAAGACGAAUCUUGUGUAUAUGUCAAAGCCAGUGGGAGUAUAGUAAGCUUCCUCGUUCUAUAUGUCGAUGACAUAUUACUCAUAGGAAACGACAUCCCGACUCUGCAGGAGGUUAAGUCCUGGCUCGGGAAGUGCUUCGCUAUGAAGGACCUCGGAGAGGCUUCUUACAUUUUGGGAAUAAGGAUAGUAAGAGAAAGAAGUAAGAGACUAAUUGGACUUAGUCAGAAUACUUACUUAGAGAAGGUACUAAAACGUUUUAGUAUGGAAAACUCAAAGAAGGGAGAACUACCGAUACAAAGUAAUGCCAAAUUGAGUAAGACUCAAAGUCCGAGUACCGAAGCUGAGAUAGCAGAAAUGAGCCGAGUACCAUACGCUUCCGCAGUUGGCUCAAUCAUGUACGCUAUGACUUGUACUCGCCCUGAUGUAGCCUUCGCUUUGAGCAUGGUUAGCAGAUAUCAAGGGAAUCCUGGCAAAGCACAUUGGAUUGCGGUGAAGAAUAUCCUUAAGUACCUUCGGAGGACGAAGGAAUGGUUCUUAGUCCUCGGAGGGAGUGAUGACUUGAAGGUGCGAGGGUAUAGUGACGCCAGUUUUCAGACCGACAGGGACAACUACCGUUCGCAGUCGGGCUGGGUCUUUACCCUAAAUGGAGGAGCAGUGACAUGGAAGAGUUCCAAGCAGGAAACCGUAGCUGAUUCAACGUGCGAAUCAGAGUACAUUGCAGCGAGCGAAGCGUCGAAGGAGGCAAUAUGGCUAAAGAACUUCAUCGGUGAUCUUGGAGUUGUACCUGCCAUAAAGGAGCCCAUGGAGAUUUUCUGUGAUAACGAAGGAGCGGUUGCCUUGACCAAGGAACCGAGGGAUCAUGGUAGAUCAAGACAUAUCGACAGAAAAUAUCACUUCAUCAGACAUCGUGUAGAAGAAGGACAACUCGUAGUGAAGAGGAUAUCAUCAGAAGAUAACCCAGCAGAUCCGCUUACGAAGGGACUGAGUAGGGUUAAGCACUUGCAGCAUGCUAGGAGUAUUGGGCUGAAGGAUGAUAUUAGCAUAGAUUAGAUAGUAUUAGAAACGUGUAAUAGAUAAAUGUAAUUAACAUUUGAUGAUUAAAUAAAGGAGUUUUAUUUAUGAGUAAUGUUACUAUCUUAUGUUAAUUGUUUAGCUAUUGUUUCACUUUGCAUGUUUUGACUUCCAGAAUAAUUGAGUUUAUUAGGAAUAAUCGAAUUGUUCAAAUGGUCCACAAUCGUUCAUAUGUUGGGAGUAGAUAUGAAUGAAGAUUGUCAUGAAUUGGUGUGUAGAAUGUCUAAAUGGUGUUAGACAUAGCAAAGGAUUGCUGCAACGUUCAUGAGUGCUUAUGAACUAGUUUUGAGCAUUGGAAUAAACCCGCGCUUGCUGGAAUCACCUUAUGGAAUACGAUAUAAAAGGUGAUCGCAAGACGAUAAUAUCAUAUAGUCUUAAAACCUAGAUAUAUGGUUUAUUAUUUGUUAAUUGAUUGUACAUUGAUAAUACGAAAACGCAUCAGUAACUUGGUGUUAUAAAACGUAUUGUUGUGUAUAGUUGGUUAAUGAAUAAGUAAAUGCAUAUAAGUCGAAGUUUAUCUGUAACUUUUAUCUAAGAAGGUAAAAGCGAUAUCUCGGCCGCUCGAUGAUUUGAUUUGACUUAUGUGCCGGGCCCGGUCAGAACUGAAUUGAUGUGUUCGAUUAAGUUCUAUGUCAAAUAAAUCAGAGAUCGAGAAACCUAAAUGCUUGACUAACCAUUCCAUAGGAUUGUCAGCAUGAUAUCUAACAGAGGACUGUACGUUCCCUUAUCUAAAGGACAAGAUUGAUUAGAUCAGAGUUGACAGCGUCUUUGAGAGCUACGAUUGCAAACCGAAUUGUACUUGUAUAGUUACUAGACUUAUCCAAGUGGGAGACUGUUGGAAUAGUGUCUAAGGCUGUAACUAUAUUAGGCAAGUAUUUGAUCCGGUUGUGCAUGGUCCUUUUGGGUUGCCUUCACCAUAGCAACUUGAUAGGAUGAUUUAUUAAGAGAGAAUAAAUAUUAUUAAUAUAUUAUGGGAAUAAUAUAAUGAAUAAUAUAUUUGUUAUUUGAUUAAUAUAAGUCAUAGAAUUAAUUAGAAUUAAUUUGGUGACUUAAAGAGAUUAAUUAAAUAAAGGGGUAUAAACUGUCAAUUGGUUGAUAGUUAAGCUUUAAACUGUAAAUCCAUUUGGAUAUACUAUGGACGAAUUCUAAGAGGAUUAGGAUAGCUAAAAUCGUCCAUUAGAGUUAUCUAGGAAUGGAUUUGGAUAGCCUUAAGAGAAGAUUAUCUGAUAGGGACUUAUCUGUAAUCCUUAAGGAGUCUACAAGUAUAAAUAGACCCCAUGGCAUAGGGAAUUCGAUACUUCUAAAAAAGCAAGAGAACUCUGGUCGAAUUCCUUCCCUCUCCUCUCUCCUAAAUUAUUCUUAUUGCUUUGGUGUUUGUAAGCCAUUAGAGGAGUGACAUUUGUGACUCUAGAAGCUCCAAGACCUCAAGAUCAACAAGGAACUCAAAGGUAUGAUUCUAGAUCUGUUUCAAUGUCCUUGUUUAACCUAAUUAGUAAUUAGAAGUCUUGGAUUCAAAGCAUGUUUAUUAGAAAGCCUAGAUCCAAGCAUUAGGGUUUUGCAUGCGCACAUAGGAAAGUUCUUAUGGCUAAAACCCAUCAAGUCUUACGACACUUCUACCACUACUUUCCAUUCUAGUGAAUGCUACGGCCACUCCGCAUUUUGAAAAGACUUCUACCACUACUUUCCAUUCUACCGAAUGCUACGGCUAACCCGCACUCUUACAACACUUCUACCACUACUUUCCAUUAUAGUGAAUUCUAUGGCCACCCCACAGUCUUACAACACUUCCAUAUUGUCAUGGUCACAACCCAUGGUCCUACCGUUCAUCUACCAUUGUAACCAUAAUCAUCCUGAGUCGAACCCGCAUCCGAAUAUGCCCCAACCAGAUGUUUGGGUUAUGCUUCGAACCCCAGAGCCUUAAUCUGACAAGAACAUGCAUAGUGGCCCUAACACAACCCUUAACCUGUUCCUGAUCACAUACCCACCAUGCGUCACUACUGAUGCACAAUGAAACUUGAAUAUCCAUUCUUGUACAACCCUCAGACCAACCGGUUCUCCCCUACUUGGAAUUCGACUGCGCUCUUCCAAUCCACCAAAAUUUAUGGGUUUCCAAUGAUGGGUUUUGGCAAUAAGAACAUCCUAUGUGCUCAUACAAACCCUAAUGCUUGGAUCUAGGUUUCUCUAUUGUACAUGCAAUUUAUCCAAGACUAUAAACCCUAGUUCUAGCAUACAAGUAAUCAUAUUAACAUAAGAAUGGGUUUAAGUUAUUACCUUAAUUGUUAUGUAGCAAUAACAAUCCCAAAUCCUCCUUGUAUUGACUUUAGAAAGCUUAGAGUCACAAAUGUCACUCCUCUAAUGGUUCACAAACACCAAGAGCAAGAGGAUGAAGAAGAGAAGAGAAGGAGGCUGCCCAAAACGUGUGGAAAACCUAACCAAUUAGUUCACCACGUUUUUGGGGCUUAAGGGUUCCUUAAAUAGUGAGGCUAUUAGGGUUAUCUAACAAGGAAACCCUAAUUUGGAUGCUUAGGCCCUAAGCAACCCAUGAACACCUUUCUUAAAGGCCUUUGGACGAUUUCUAAUGGGUUUCCCCAUAGAAUUCGUCCACCCCUUUAAUAUGGAGUCCAUUAGCUCAAUAUUCAACUAUCACACAAUUGACAGUUCUAGUCCCUUAAGUUUAAUUAAUGUCUUUUAGCCACAAACUUAAUUCUUAUUAAUUCUUGAGUAAUAUUAAUUAAACAAUAUGAUUUCUCCUUUAAUAUAUUAUUCUCAUAAUAUAUUAAUAAAUCAUAUUUAAUCCUUUCUCUCCAUAAUUCAUCCUAUCAAGUUGCUUUGGUGAAGGCAACCCAAAAGGACCAUGCACCAUCGGGUCAAGUACAUACCAAAAUAGUUAUGGACUUAGACACUAAUCCAACAGUCUCCCACUUGGAUAAGUCUAAUAACUAUUAUGCGUAUGACUUCAGAUCCUGAUCUGCAAUCGUAGCUUUCCAAAGCCGCUGUCAACUCUGAUCUUAUCAGAUACGCGUGUCCUUUAGAUAAGGGAUCAUAUAUUCCUCCAUUCUAGAUAUCGUAUAGACUGAGACAUGGAUCUAAAUCAUUCUCUCUGUCUAUGUGCUGUUUCCCGAAUUCAGAUUUAUGACGACUGACAACAGACUACAAUUGAACACAUCAAUUUAGUCCCGGCUUGGCCAAGCGCUUAGGUGCCAUCACUAAAUCAUCGAGGGGCCCACAGAUAUCGCUUUUAUCCUACUUUGGAUAAAAGGAACGGAUAAACUUUGACUCAAUGCUNNNNNNNNNNNNNNNNNNNNNNNNNNNNNNNNNNNNNNNNNNNNNNNNNNNNNNNNNNNNNNNNNNNNNNNNNNNNNNNNNNNNNNNNNNNNNNNNNNNNNNNNNNNNNNNNNNNNNNNNNNNNNNNNNNNNNNNNNNNNNNNNNNNNNNNNNNNNNNNNNNNNNNNNNNNNNNNNNNNNNNNNNNNNNNNNNNNNNNNNNNNNNNNNNNNNNNNNNNNNNNNNNNNNNNNNNNNNNNNNNNNNNNNNNNNNNNNNNNNNNNNNNNNNNNNNNNNNNNNNNNNNNNNNNNNNNNNNNNNNNNNNNNNNNNNNNNNNNNNNNNNNNNNNNNNNNNNNNNNNNNNNNNNNNNNNNNNNNNNNNNNNNNNNNNNNNNNNNNNNNNNNNNNNNNNNNNNNNNNNNNNNNNNNNNNNNNNNNNNNNNNNNNNNNNNNNNNNNNNNNNNNNNNNNNNNNNNNNNNNNNNNNNNNNNNNNNNNNNNNNNNNNNNNNNNNNNNNNNNNNNNNNNNNNNNNNNNNNNNNNNNNNNNNNNNNNNNNNNNNNNNNNNNNNNNNNNNNNNNNNNNNNNNNNNNNNNNNNNNNNNNNNNNNNNNNNNNNNNNNNNNNNNNNNNNNNNNNNNNNNNNNNNNNNNNNNNNNNNNNNNNNNNNNNNNNNNNNNNNNNNNNNNNNNNNNNNNNNNNNNNNNNNNNNNNNNNNNNNNNNNNNNNNNNNNNNNNNNNNNNNNNNNNNNNNNNNNNNNNNNNNNNNNNNNNNNNNNNNNNNNNNNNNNNNNNNNNNNNNNNNNNNNNNNNNNNNNNNNNNNNNNNNNNNNNNNNNNNNNNNNNNNNNNNNNNNNNNNNNNNNNNNNNNNNNNNNNNNNNNNNNNNNNNNNNNNNNNNNNNNNNNNNNNNNNNNNNNNNNNNNNNNNNNNNNNNNNNNNNNNNNNNNNNNNNNNNNNNNNNNNNNNNNNNNNNNNNNNNNNNNNNNNNNNNNNNNNNNNNNNNNNNNNNNNNNNNNNNNNNNNNNNNNNNNNNNNNNNNNNNNNNNNNNNNNNNNNNNNNNNNNNNNNNNNNNNNNNNNNNNNNNNNNNNNNNNNNNNNNNNNNNNNNNNNNNNNNNNNNNNNNNNNNNNNNNNNNNNNNNNNNNNNNNNNNNNNNNNNNNNNNNNNNNNNNNNNNNNNNNNNNNNNNNNNNNNNNNNNNNNNNNNNNNNNNNNNNNNNNNNNNNNNNNNNNNNNNNNNNNNNNNNNNNNNNNNNNNNNNNNNNNNNNNNNNNNNNNNNNNNNNNNNNNNNNNNNNNNNNNNNNNNNNNNNNNNNNNNNNNNNNNNNNNNNNNNNNNNNNNNNNNNNNNNNNNNNNNNNNNNNNNNNNNNNNNNNNNNNNNNNNNNNNNNNNNNNNNNNNNNNNNNNNNNNNNNNNNNNNNNNNNNNNNNNNNNNNNNNNNNNNNNNNNNNNNNNNNNNNNNNNNNNNNNNNNNNNNNNNNNNNNNNNNNNNNNNNNNNNNNNNNNNNNNNNNNNNNNNNNNNNNNNNNNNNNNNNNNNNNNNNNNNNNNNNNNNNNNNNNNNNNNNNNNNNNNNNNNNNNNNNNNNNNNNNNNNNNNNNNNNNNNNNNNNNNNNNNNNNNNNNNNNNNNNNNNNNNNNNNNNNNNNNNNNNNNNNNNNNNNNNNNNNNNNNNNNNNNNNNNNNNNNNNNNNNAUUGAUCAAGGUCCUUGCCUUUUAUGCAUUCAAAUGAGAACUCAUAGGGCUCACAUGCAUAAUUAACUCAAUUGGAACGGCACAGAAACAAGAUAAUGUCAACACGAUAGGUUGUAAACCUCAACUCGUGUGCUAGUGAUGAUCGAUAAGGUUUAUUUGAUUUGUUCUUGAAACUUUUCAAGACCAUUAAGACUCCCACUGACUCCUUGACAUAUAAGAUUCUUUUUUCAAUGAACUUUUCUUGAUAAACGAAUAUUCAAUAAUUAGUGUAGCUUUUUAUCAAGACAAAACCCUUCAUAAAAUUGGUCAUAGUUGGUCUUUGUCUUAUCCAAGACAUCACAACUUUCCAAUUUCAAAUGUGUGAGAAUAGGAAAGCCUUUUUCCAAAUUCUACAUUUGAUGAAUGUUAUAAACCUUCCUAAGACUUGUCACUUAAUGUCAUAAUCUUAACUCUAAGACUUGUUUUGGAAUGAAGUAUGAUUGACUUCUUGAUUUAACCAUUUCUUCAAUUCUUGAUUCCUCUUCUUAGACAUACAAUUGUACUAAGACUCACUUAGAGGAUCAAUUGAGAUAUGGUUCUUAAUCAUUAAGACAUAUCAUAAAGCAUAAAAGGUACUCUCCCUUCUUCUUAGAAUAGAGAAACUUUUAUCUUUCUGCCUACUUGAUUCUUCUUAUUCGUUCUGCUAUUGAUUUAAACUUUUUCAAUCAAUUCAGAAUUACACUUAAUCUUAUAAGUAUAAUCAUAUUUACUAAACCUUUAGUAAAUCAUGACGAAUAUCUUUGUUACUCUUGUGGUGGACUUGAUCAACACACAACUUUGUGUACUCGAUCUCCUAGUCCUUCACUUGACACUUUGUCAACGAAUUAGUCUAAUUUCCAAAUAUGAAAUUUCUCAUUCAUCGUGCAACCAAGUUGCAUGAUUCCAAGUUUCUGUCCAAUUGAAACUUGGGCGAUGAGAAACUCUCCCUAUUUGGUAAAUUCUUGACAUUUCCACAAUUAACAUAAUUAAGAAUCACAUCCAUUCGUUGUAGAAAUAUGCAAACAUCAAUUUUUCAUAACGAUUUCAUUGCAAGGAAAUAAAUAAAUAAAUAAAUGAGUCAAACCAAAAUUUAUUUUAUUCAUAAAAGCAGCGGAAAACAUUUGUCCUUACAAUGCAAAAUCAACUAAAAACUAUGUAGUCAAAAGAAAAAUUCCUAACAACUCUAUCAUAACUUUCUAAGCUCAAAAUCUAAUCUUCAAAUCCAUGCGAUCGAGAUCCAUUUCUUCGUGAUUAGAUUCAUCUUGCUCUUUCAUCAAGCUUCCUCUCUUUUCACUGAUCCUGCAAAACAUUCAAAUGCAAUCUUAUCACAUCAUGUAUUAAGAAUCAACGAAUAGGAACUUAAUGGAGUUAGAUAGUGGAUUUUACCUGAAGCACAGCCAUACUUUUUGACUCUCCCAUCUUCUGGACUCUUCAGGCUCUUAGGGCAGACUUGUAUCCAACGCCCUUUCUCUUGGCAGCAAACGCAGGUCGGUUCUCCUAGAACGUCCUCGGAAGCAUGGUUGGUUGACUUUCCCAACAAAUAUGCUCCAUUGCUUUGCCAAAUCAUUUCUGAUUCAGCAGCAAUGAGCAUGUAAGUUAGGUCAAUGAGGUUUUCGUCAUGAUCCAUCAUAUAAUACUUUCUUUUGAACUCAUUAUAUGAUUCAGGAAGUGACUGCAGAACCCAGUUCACAGCCAACUUAUCAGGGAAUGACGCACCCAACAUAAUCAACCUAUCGAUGUGUGAUUUCAUUCCUAGAACGUGGGCACACACGGGUUUACCUUCUUCAUGUUUCAUUUCCAAUAGGGCUUUAGUGACAUUGAACCUUUCAAUUCUUCGAUCUUGUGGGUUAGGGAGAAUAAUUAGAGGAGGAGGAGGAAGUGAAGCAUGAUCUCUUGUUCCUUGAUCAAAUCGUGGAAUAUCAUCUUCGUGUGGAAUGCUUUUUGCACAGGAUUUAGCAAGACCAUAGUUGUCGAACUUUGACAUCUACAAAACGGGAGAAAAAUAAUUUCAAGUUAGUUGAUAGAUUGAGUCCUUAAUAAGUCACCCAAAUGAGAUAUUAAGGCUAGGACCCAACACAAUAUUCCACAACUCGGGAGAGGGAUGACGUAACCCUAAUUGCAGAACAUUUGAAGGUAAGUGAAUGAUGAUUCACUAAUUUCCACCAUGAAAAACGAAAAAGAAAUUUAAGUUUUAAAUCUAUGAAAACUCCUAGAUCCUUUGAGAUUCAUUGAACAUUUCAAUGGCAUGUUUAAAUCUCGAUAUGCCCCUCUAGUUUGUGACUGGGAUGCCGAGGAUCACAAAGCGGGUGUGAAUAACCAUGCAAACUUACAUGGUGCCCCCACAUGUUACAGUCACCUAUUCGAUGUGCCGGUAAACCACACACGCUCCACCGAACUAUGACAAACAUUGAGUCACCCUUUGCUACCUUUGCUUAGAACCAUUUAGUGUGCCGGUAAACCACACACGCUCCACUAACGUCUUCGCAAGGGCACAAAGUGUAAUUUCAUGGAAUUGCAUCAAUUCACUUUUGCCUAAGUAACUAAGAUUGGGAAUUUUAUGAAAACAUUUAGUUACUUUUAUACUUCAUUAUACUUAUAAUGGAAGGUUUCUUCCUAUCCUACCCGUUCGGCUAACGACCCUCCACUAGUCAAGAGUGCGGUGGGUAAGAGUGGAUACCCAUUCAAUCGCCAUUUUAUAGGCAAUUUCCUUAAACACCCCUUAUAGACCAGCUUCGUGAAUGAGGCCUACUAACGGUAAGACUGACUUUUACUCAUACAUAUAUAUAAUGUUAGACUUUUAAUGUUAUAUAUAGUAUAGGGUGUAUUUUACACUUUUAAAAUACUAGGUGGUCAAAUUUAACAAUUAUACUUUUAAUUCAAUUAAAUUGUAAACCUAAACUUUUAUGGAUUUAUUAAACCUCUUUUAAUUAUACACCUUAAUUAAUUAAUAAAACCAUAAGGGUGUGAUUUGAACUUUUUCAAAACUAUACUAGAGUUUUAGAAUUUAACAUUCCUAAUUAAACUUUUAAUCAACUUUUAAAUUCCAAAACUUGAGGGCAAGUUUUGAAACAUUUCAACACAUUAGGGUUUAGAAUUUAAAUAUACAUCAAAAUUAAACUAUUUAAUCAAAAUUUAAAUUCCAAAACUUGAGGGCAAGUUUUGAAACCUUUUUCAAAACAUUAGGGUUUCAACUAUUUAAAUUUCAAAACAACAAAACUUUUGGGUUCAAAUUUAAACUAUAAAACCUAAAGGGGAAAAUAUGAAACUUUUCAUAACAACAAGGAUCAAAUAACAAAUAAUCUAAAUUAACAUUUAAUCACAUAAUUAUCCAUAUUUGAUUUAUUUAAUGAUUUCUUGCAAAACAAUUUAUCAAUUUAGUCAAAAUAAUUAAUCAAUUAUCACAUAAGGAAACAAUUAUCUUAUUAAUUGAUAAAUAUCUUCAAUUAGAUCAAAAAUAUAGUCAAAUAUAUCAUAAAAUCGGAUUAAUAUUGAUCUAACAUGAUAAGGUAACUAUCCCAAUGCAAAAACAGCAAGAAAUCCCGAGAUAACCUCCAUCUGACGAGUUGACUCGUCGAGUCAAGCCUGGACUCGUCGAGUCACCUUGGACUCGGCGAGUUCAGCUAUGGACUCGGCGAGUCCAGCCUCCAGAAACCCAAAAAACGAAUUUUCCAGAUAUGCAAUGCAUCAAUACAAUUGAAACCAAGCUAGGCUCUGAUACCACUGAUGGGUUUUGGUCAUAAGACAUCCUAUGUGCUCAUACAAACCCUAAUGCUUGGAUCUAGGUUUCUCUAUUGUACAUGCUUUGAAUCCAAGACUAUAAACCCUAAUUCUAGCAUAUGGAAAUCAAUAUUAACAUAUAAUUAGGUUUAAGAUAUUACCUUGAUUGUUAUGUAGCAAUAACAAUCCCAAAUCCUCCUUGUAUUGACUUUAGAAAGCUUAGAGUCACAAAUGUCACUCCUCUAAUGGUUCACAAACACCAAGAGCAAGAGGAUGAAGAAGAGAAGAGAAGAGAAGAGAAGAGAAGGAGGCUGCCCAAAACGUGUGGAAACCCUAACCAAUUAGUUCACCACGUUUUUGGGGCUUAAGGGUUCCUUAAAUAGUGAGGCUAUUAGGGUUAUCUAACAAGGAAACCCUAAUUUGGAUGCUUAGGCCCUAAGCAACCCAUGAACUCCUUUCUUAAAGGCCUUUGGAUGAUUUCUAAUGGGUUUCCCCAUAGAAUUCGUCCACCCCUUUAAUAUGGAGUCCAUUAGCUCAAUAUUCAACUAUCACACAAUUGACAGUUCUAGUCCCUUAAGUUUAAUUAAUGUCUUUUAGCCACAAACUUAAUUCUUAUUAAUUCUUGAGUAAUAUUAAUUAAACAAUAUGAUUUCUCCUUUAAUAUAUUAUUCUCAUAAUAUAUUAAUAAAUCAUAUUUAAUCCUUUCUUUCCAUAAUUCAUCCUAUCAAGUUGCUUUGGUGAAGGCAACCCAAAAGGACCAUGCACCAUCGGGUCAAGUACAUACCAAAAUAGUUAUGGACUUAGACACUAAUCCAACAUCCAAUCCAUCUCAUAACCUACAGUUUAAAUUGUCAACAACCUAAGCUCACAAGAACUAGCAUUCCUUUACUAACCAAUCUUAACAAUCACACACAUUCCAAAACCAUAUGUAUACUUCCUGAAAUAUCAACGAGCUUAAUAAUCCUAGUACUUCCCAUUGACUCCACUACAAGUCCCCAACGACUUAUCGGAUGACGAAGAUCAACAUCUCUAAUAUCGAAACGGGUACCCAACUGAUGCCACAACCUACUUGCACUUAAAGUAAUUACCAUGGGAACAUGUAUCUGACCACAAUAUGAAGGUAUGAACUUGAAAAAUACCAAUCUUACACCCAUAAUCAAACCAAUUCCUCAUUGCCUCGAAACCAUGAAGAAGCCCUACAUAUCCCACAUUUGAACCCGACAUACCCACCUUACGGAUUCCUUGAAUUCUUGCUGAUACCACCAAAUAUCAAAUCAACUGAUGAUCUUUUCUUACUCUAAGCUUGUUCCGAUGAUGGUUGAUGCCUCUUACAUCGAAAUCCAAAACUGGCUCACCCAAAAAUCCCCUAAACACGGCUCUCGGUAUGAAAAAUGGCAUAUGAAAAUUCUCAAGAUAAAACAUCUAGACCAUCAUGAAGAAAACUUUAAUUUAUAGAGGGAGACUUAGAUACAACCCCCAUAUAAUCUCACACACACAAUGAUAAACACAAUUAAUAAGAGUAAGAAGGAAAUGAAGACAAUACAUAAAUGUGCCAUCAACUGAUGGAACUCGGAUCCCCUCUGUGACUGCAAUGCUCGGUUCCUCACCACAGGAACCUCCACUCUACCCUCACGACCAUCAGUAAUCCUCAAAGUGGCUGGAGCAGGUUCCCUCACGACUCCUCUCAUCAACUUCGGACAUUCAGCCUUCUUGUGGCCCACUUGGUUUCAGUGAAAACAUAACAUGCUCGUCUCCUGGGGAUAAUCUCUACCUACAUGACCAACCCUGCCAUACUUGUAGCAACCCAUACCCCUAGAUCGACAAACCCCGAUGUGUUGCUUCCCGCACAUUCUUCACUGACCCUGACCCCUUCUGGCCCCUUAACCGCUAGUUUGAAGUCUUGGGUCUCUUCGCAGAACCCCCAUCUACCUACACCUGCUCUGGCUUCCUCUUCCCCAGGUAGUCCAAACCAAUCUCCCGUUCCCGGGCUCUAGCAAUCAUAUCAUUCAGGGUCUUGCACCCUGACAUACUCAUAAACUUCCUGAUGUCAUCCCUAAAUAUAUCAUGAUACUUUACCUUUUUCAUUUUUUCUUCCAUUGUAUAUUGCGGAACCAACAAAGCCUUCCCAGUAGUAUGACGAAGGUACCAAAACUCCCUUGCUAACUACUUCACAUCAAUAGUUGGUGUAUACUCUACCCUAAACCGGCUCACACACUCAUCCCAAGUCAUCUUCUCCAUGGUUUUGCCUCCCAAAGCGAAGUCUACCUCCUCCCACAAAUCUUGAGCCCUGUCUUUCAGAAGACAUGAAGCAAAUAUGAACUUCGACCCUCAGGGCAUAAAAUCAUCCGUAAAUCAUUCACCAUAUCCACUAAUCACCUCCUACUAGCAAUUGGGUCAUUCUCCCCAAAGAACUCGGGAGCUCCACAAUCACGGAACUUGCGGAAGCAAAGAGUAAGAGCUCCAACAAUCGCCACAACCUCAAUUCGGAAUGCGCCCAGAAGCUCUUCCAAAAUCUCCAUAAUACCUUCCUUGACAAUAUUGAAUAUCACAUGAAUCUGUUCUAAAAUACUCCGGGUGAUCUCCAACGAGAUAAACUCCCGCAUACACUCAUUAAUCCGCUCAUCACCUGCACCUGAGCAUGAACCAAAACCUGAACCUCCUCUACAUGUUUUCAUCACCAUUCUGAAAAACAAUCAUACAAAUGAUCAAAACAUACCUAAGAAUCUUCAUCCAACAGGCUUCCUAGACUCUCUGUGACUCUCCUCGAUUCGAGUAUGGAUCCUUUGAUUUUAGUAGUAUAGGCACAGUAAUACCUUCCAUACAUAUCCAUAAUUUCCUCAAGAAUCAUCUUUAAUCCUGUAAGUCACCUUCUCAAACUGAUACUCUAAGUACUUGCUAAACAGUGCGACCAAACCCACUAAAACACUUCCUAGGCUCUCCUUGGUUCCUCCCCCUCCCCCUGCCAUCAACUGCUGAAAAACUCCCACUAACGUCAGCUAACUACUUCAUGAAUACAAUCACAUGCAAUAAAUUUUAGAUAAUCCUUUGAGGUAAAAGACUCAUCCCUACAACGGUUGGACUCAGACAAGAUUCGUGCAAUAGGGUCAAAUCCAUCACUCUGAGAUUAUUUAACCUUUGCAGCAUGCAACUUAACAUAUUCAUGAAAUAAUUAUCUCACGUCAGUAUGAGUCCCACAGAGCACAAAGCAAGCAGUAUUCGGCCAUCGGAAAGUCUAACCAGCGUACCAUCUUUCAAGCCAUUCUAUACGAUCAUCUAAAAUCAAUACUAGCAUGCAAUUCUAAAGCUCAAACAACAGGCAUACAAAGGCAUUUCUCCUAACAUGAAAUUCAGAGCAAAUCCUUAGCCCUAAUCUAGCAUGAAAAUAUCAUAACAUAUAAUAUAACAAACAUGUAUGGGUAUUUUGGGAAUCACUUACUUGAGCUCGGCUGAUUGCACGCAUCACCCCCUUUCUUUUAUUAGAAAAUCCUUUAAUAAGCAUUUUUUAUGAAAAAUUUACCAAACCCUCACUUUGAGUUCAGGCACACCCGAGAGUAUGCCCGAAUCCCUAAAACCAAGGUGCUGAUACCAACUUGUAACGUUCCAAAAAUUAUAAAGUAAAAAUUUCAUUUUUAAUUUAACUAGAAACACCAAUUAUCUUUUUUUUUUCCAAUCAUUCAAAGAGCAUUUCAGAAUAAAAACAGUUAUCAGAGUACAAUCCCAAAAUCAUAUAGUUUCGAAAACAUUGGUGGAUGCGUUGUGGUCAAGUCAAGCCCUUCCCUUUUGAAUCAAAAGUACCUAAAACCAUAACCAUAAAAACCGUAAACACAAAGCUUAGUGAGUACCCCAAAAUACCACAUACCAUACAUACAGUAGAGAUUGCUAUGUGCCGACCAUAGUCUUGUCAUUAUGCCACGAGCCGUAUCAUGGUCUUCCCUUUCCAGGGCGGGGGCCAAAACCUAGGUCUUAUAGACAAGUGCCAAGCGUCACCUCCUGGUCUUCCAGGCAAGUAUCACAAACACAACUAGCAUACUACAUAUAUAUAUAUAUAUAUAUAUANNNNNNNNNNCAGGGUCUGAUCCCUGGUCUUGCAUACAGUUUGUCGGGAGCCACCCCAGGGUCUUUCAUAGGAUAAUCCUGGCAGAUGCGCCAAAUAGAGAAUGUCAUAAUACUAGCAGAUGCGCUUAUAGGUGUUUAAAUACUCCUCAAACCCUAAAAAUUAGGGUUUCUCUCGGACAUAAGUACGCACAGUGUACUAGGGCACACCCUAGUACGCUUAGCGUACUCACAUGUAUGCUCAACGUAUAACUCCUGCUUGCAAAAUUACCAUUUUGGCACUAGGGCUUCUUAGGGCUACAUCCUUACAAUCUAAAGACCAAAAUGACAUAAUUUAAAACCAAAGGAAGGAUUUGAAAAUACCCGAAACCCAGGAUGUUACACCGCCCAAACUUGCAUAACGGGCCCCGCCCACAUACAAAUCAUAUAAGCAUAAAAAUGUAAUAGCAUACAGAUUGACCGUCAGGCCCCACCCAAUAGGCAUACAAGCACAUACACAUACAAGUGUCACACAAACAUCUAGUAUUCUAGCAUAACAGAUCAUGGGUCGGUAUUGGUGCCUUAGACCCGCUAAACCUAGUGAGGAAACUCACCUCAGACAGUUGAAUCUUACAGAUAAAAGUUGCUGGCCUGCUGAAAUCCCCACGCUAUCAAUACAAUAAUAACAUCCAAUUAAUAAUUGGAUCCCGACUCACACUAAGAGUCCAAACUAGGGUAAAAGACCCUUUUUACCCUUUACCUAACUUGGCACAAAGACAAGGCCCAAGCUAACUAUCCAAAAAGGCCCAAAUUCCAAAAUGAUCACCCAAAGCCCAAACAUGGCCCUUUUUUCCAAAUUGGGCCCAAACCCAUCAUGGGCCUAAAAUCAACCGUCCAACCACAAUAAUGGGUCCUCACGUCGUGACCAAACCUUGGGCACAUUGUGGGGACCAACUCGACUCUGUCCUAACUCAAUGAGUCAACUCAACUCAUCAAGAAGGUUUCAGUCUCCUUCAUGUCGUGACCCAACCUUGAGUCACGUUAUGGCCUAAUCCGAAUAAAAUAGACGGGAUGGACAACAUUCUCAUAUUGUGAGAUAUGUACCGACGAGCUUAAAACAUAAGCUCUUAAUCCUUACAGCCAUAACUUGGGACUUUCUAGGGGGUCUUCCUUUACCCAAAGAAUGAUAAAAAUCGUGGCUUUUCAGUCAUGCAUGUCUAAUGCAUGACUCAAACUCUUACAAGACCAAAAGUGGGAAAAAUGAUCUAGACUAUGUUGAAGAGAACGAGUCAUUGAUUCAUAAAUUUGCCAACUUUAUGGACCCCAUGCAAGAAAUCCCACCCAAACAUGCAAAAAUGAGCUUAUAACUUAGAUCUAGAAUGAAAAAGCUAAAAAGGUCCAAGCUUUAUGACUUACAAUGGUCCAGAAGCUCCAAAAGAUUGCAAGGUGGAAGCAAAAACUCUAAGAGGUUGCUGAACUAAGGUCUUUUUCCAUUUCAAGUAGCUAAAACCACCAAAUAAUGCUUCAAAGAUCUCAAAAAUGCCUAAGAGCUUCAAGAGGGUCGAGAUUAGGGUUUUCUAGAGGCUUAGAGGGUGAGAGAGAUUGAGGAUGGAUAAUCAUAGCCUCUUAUUCACUUAAAUACCUGAAAAUUAGGGUUUUGGGUCAUUAAGCCACACUCACAUCAUGAGACCUUAUACCUCACGUCGUGAGUUUCCAAAAAUGUGGGUCAACAGGUCAAUGGUUACUCAGAACGUGAUCCCUAAGAUCUCAUGUCGUGAGGACCCUCAUACUGCAAAAUAAAAGAAUGAAUUUUUGUACCUUAGGAUUCUGGAUGUUACAACAAACCUUCCAUAUCUAGGUGCCUAUUCAGAGGAAACUGUUACCGGUAAAACAUCAUCGAAAACCUCCUCAUCUCCAUUACUUAUGAGCUAACCUAGAUCUUCUCACUACCAUCUGGAUCAUCGUUCAAAAAUAAUAGCACGAUACACCCUCUUAAAAACCUCAAAACAACCCACCAAUACUUAAACCUUAAAUCUAAUAUCAUUGUAAAUUUCAUGAAGAAAGAUGAAGAAAAAUUGACUUUAGAUUUGAAACACAAAGCCGUAAUUUGAUUUUUGAUCUUUGAGAAGAUGAAUGGAAACUGAGAAGUAGGGGUAACGGGUGUAAAGGUUUGUGUGUGUGUGUGUGUGNGGGGGGGGGGGGGGGGGAGGUGCCCCUCUUUUUAUUUGUUAUCACAUUAAUAUUUAAAUUAAAGAAAAAAAAUGUUUAAGAAAAUGGAAAAAAAAAAUUAAAAUGGCACAUUAACGGGGAGCAAUGUCACAAAGAAAUUAGUUGAAAAUGACCAUUUAUCCAUUUUUUCAAGGUUUGUACCUUUUACCUGAAAAAAUGCAUACCACAAUGACCGUUUUUGUAGUUUUGUCUACGUAGUUUUUUUCUCUUUGUUUUAUUUUAUAUUUACAAAAACACGAUUCCUUCUAGUUGUGAGCAUCAUAUUUGUAGAAAUAUCAAUUAAUGAUAUAUAUANNNNNNNNNNNNNNNNNNNNNNNNNNNNNNNNNNNNNNNNNNNNNNNNNNNNNNNNNNNNNNNNNNNNNNNNNNNNNNNNNNNNNNNNNNNNNNNNNNNNNNNNNNNNNNNNNNNNNNNNNNNNNNNNNNNNNNNNNNNNNNNNNNNNNNNNNNNNNNNNNNNNNNNNNNNNNNNNNNNNNNNNNNNNNNNNNNNNNNNNNNNNNNNNNNNNNNNNNNNNNNNNNNNNNNNNNNNNNNNNNNNNNNNNNNNNNNNNNNNNNNNNNNNNNNNNNNNNNNNNNNNNNNNNNNNNNNNNNNNNNNNNNNNNNNNNNNNNNNNNNNNNNNNNNNNNNNNNNNNNNNNNNNNNNNNNNNNNNNNNNNNNNNNNNNNNNNNNNNNNNNNNNNNNNNNNNNNNNNNNNNNNNNNNNNNNNNNNNNNNNNNNNNNNNNNNNNNNNNNNNNNNNNNNNNNNNNNNNNNNNNNNNNNNNNNNNNNNNNNNNNNUAUAUAUAUCAAAUUUAAAUAUUAUACUUACUUCUUUCUUUUAAUUGCUCAAUUACUCACGUUAGCUGUUAAAAUCACUCCGAUUGCGGUCGACCUUGAAGUGAAAUGCAAGAAUGAUAGUAUGUGAAAUUGUGAUUUUCUAUUGACUCUUAUCAUUAUCACAAAAUUGAAAACAAAAUUGAAAACGUGACCCUGAAACAUAAAUACACAAUGUUAAUAUUCUUUAUAUCAACAUUAAUUGAUAUUAGUAAUAUAUUUAAUAAACCUAACUUUAUUGUUAGUAAACAUGAAUGACAUUAGUAGCAUGCAAUGAUACUUUAAAUAAUGAAUUAGUAUUAUUUUUGUCUUUUAAUAUUUUAUUAAGUAAUAUAAUACUAAAGGAAACUUUUGAUCGGAAGCCUCUUACAAUUGGAGGGCUCGUGAAACCGCACCAUCUGCACACCCCAUGACUGGUUGAUUUUGGUUAUAAACCAAAGUUUGUUUAAAACUAGGCUGCCAUUUAUUGGUUAAUGUUUAAAAAUAUGUUGCUAUUUCUUUCAAAUGGUGUCGGGUGCUCAUAAAAAAAGUUCAAAAUAUGUCCAUAUGCUCAUAAAAUGUACAUUGGUUAUUGCUAUUUCUUGGGACCUUUUCAUAUCCUUCAACUCCAUGCUACCAACAAAAAUGGAUUAAUUUAUGCAGCCAGAACAUUCAACUGUCCAACAAAAAUUACAUGGGAUUCUUGUUCAUACGUAAUCAUAUCAUUCGGCUCCAUAUCAACAAGGAAGAAAUAGCAACAUAUUUUUAAACAUUAAUCUAGAAAUUUUAUGUAAUUUCAAUAGGAAAAAAUAGCAACAUACUAUUAAAAGGCCCAACAUAUAUAUUUUGGACCAACAUGUACUUUUUGAACAUAAAUUUCUGGAAUAGUAAGAAAUUUUGAUCCAACUUUUAAACAUUAAGCAAGAAAUAGCAUUGUACCUUUAAACAUCCAAGUAGUUGGUUUCUCUUGCUUAAUGUUUAGGAAUACAAUGCUAUUUCUUGCCCAAUGUUUAAAAGUUUAUUAAAAUUUUCUUGUAAUUCCUUAUAAUUCUGUUCGUAAAGUAAUGAAAUUUGGAUAAAGAUUGUUAGGAAAAAUUAAAUGCAUGUCUUUUUCUGAACAUUAAAUAUAGGGUUUUUUUUUAAUAUAUAUGCAUAAUAGUUGUGUCUUCCUGUCGAAAGUGCGAAAGUAACAAACCAGUUAAUUGUUUAAUAACCAGCAAUUUGGACAAAUUUGGAAUGCAAAAAAUGUUUUCUUCGGAAAAGAAAAGAACAUAUGGAUUUUUAUAAUACAUGUACAUAAUAAGUGAUGAUUUUCUGUAUUUUACUCUAAACUCAAAUCAUGUAAACUUAGUCGCAAAAAAUAUCACGAUUGCAAAAAUAAUAACAAAAUAGAUAAAAGAAAGAUGCCAAGAUGGCAAUGCCACACAACAAAAGGAUAUUAUUUUGUCGUCAUUUUGUCGUCAUUUUAACAACCAAAAUGUCGAUGUUACACAAUGUGCUGUCAAUUAUCUCCAUCAUGAGUACAUGUAUUUGUACAAAAGAAAGUUGUAUGUAAGGAAAAUUGUAAUUUGCAUACUGUUUUUAUGAGUAAAUUACAGUUUUGGUCCCUAUGGUUUACUAAAAUAUUAAAAAAAAAUCUAGCUUAACGGAAGGAAGUUGACAAUAACAAGAUAUUUCCUAAUUUUUACUGAAAUAGUCCCUUGAGUUAGUGAAAAUCUCAAAAUAUCAUAAAACACAAAGAUAUAGAUAUAUUACGAGUACUUAACGGAUGGAAAUUGACAAUAACAAGAUCAGGAACCACAAGUGUAACUUUUGAAAACCAUAGAGAUAAAUUAUGUCAAAAAUUGAAUACGUGGAAUAAAAUUAUAGAUGAGUGUAGACUACAGGGAACAAAAUUGCAAAUAACUCUUUUUUUUUUUAUUGAUUGGACUUAUAUGCAACAAACAUAAUAAUUUUUUAAUGUACAAGUACAACCAUAAAUGAUGUUGUAUAGCAAUAAUUUAUGAAUUAUGAUGUAAAUUAUUUGGUGGAAAAAUUAGAGUGAUUUACGUACAAGAAAUGAAGGACAUAAAUAUGGUCUCAUUUAUGCUUAAUACCCACCCCUAUAAACAGCAGUUGAGACUACCUCAAAACACUACAUACCCCUACCCCACCCCCCGCCACCAGAAACAAACUAAUAAAUACUACAACCAUCCAUCCUUUGUUUUUACUUGUCCUAAAAUUUUAACAUUAAAUGCUUCUUGGAUUUUUUGUUGUUUGCUUCAUAUUAUAUGUAUGUAUGAAUCUCUAUGAGAUAAGUAUGUGGUGUGGAAAACAGCGAUGGUAUGCAUCAACCGGAUUGGAUUGACGAAAAUAAAUGCUAUGGGUAUUCUUUUGCAAGCAUACAUGCAUCAUAUAUGUUUGUAAUUAGUAGUGUCAUUAUUGUUAUAUCUUCGUUCCAUGUUUUGGUUUUGAUUAUAAUUCUGAUCUUCAAGCUAUAUAAGGUAUAUGUGACGUUUUUGUUAAAAGAUUUUUUUUUUUACAUAUAAUUAAAAUAGAUGGAUUACGAUAAUUGAAACAAGACAAUAUCAUAAAUAUGUCAGGAGUAGCUAAAAGUUUUUUAAAAUAUGUAUUAUAGAGAGGAUUCUCCAUUGGUGUUACAUCGGAGAUGUUCAAUUUAGUAAAAGUGGGGGGACAUUUUAAACUCUGCUGCUCAUUGGGGUAAUUGUCCAAAAAAAAAUGAAAACAUUCCAUUUGAUUUGCUAUGGUAUGUUACGGUGAAUAAUAAGGAAUGAUCGAAUUUUCAAGAAUUAUCACAUAGCUCAGGAGACUAUGGUGAAUAACAUAAAGGUGAAUGUGUUCUUAUGGGUUAAAUUAAGGAGAAGUAAUGGGUGAUUAAAUGGGAUGAAUUUAGUAACUCUCCAUUUGUUGUUUGUAAUUUGGUGAUGGCUUUUUCUUUCUCUUCUUUGUACUUUGUUCCUCUUGUCCCUUCUAUUGGUGAUUUGUUUCACUAAUGUGAUUUAAGUGUAAUGAGAUUAUUUUGUGUGACCAAAAGUGAUCUUCAUAAAUAUUAAACAAGUAAAUAAGGUAUGAAGUGCACACUUGUUUAAAAUUUAUUCAAGAUUAAAAGUAGACUGUCAUUUAGGAGCAAAACCCCUGAACGAAUGGGGGUCCAGAGGCAGCGCCCCUGGGAGCGGGGUCCAAGGGGCAGAGCCCCUGGUUGGGAUCGAUCCAAAUUUAGAAAUUUGACCCGUUUUUGGCUUGGUAUUAAUCUUUAUAGAAAACUCGGAUUUAUGAUAGUUUUUUUACUGUUGCUAAACUGUUUUAUGACAGUUUUCAGACAAGGGAGGUAUUUAACCAAUUUUGUUCAGUUUUUUCUGGUACUCACGAAAAUUCAUAUCUUAUUCUCUGUUCUUUUCUCUUCUGAGUCUUAUUCAAUCAAAGAUUAGGGAGUACCACCCAAUACUUUGAUUUAAUAGUGAAAUCAUAAUUCUAACACCUCCCAUUUUCUUGCUAUUAUUAUCCCAUUUUCUAACACCUCCUAGUAACUUGCUAGGUGGUUUUUUUUAUUAAUAUAUUUCAUAUGCCGUUCCAAAAGAAAAAUCUAAAACACGUUAUUAAUUUUAAAAAAGGAUAAUUAAAUCAAUUUCAAAAUUAUAAAAAGGUUUUUUUUUUGUUAAAAUGUUAUUUAAAAUAGCUUUUGGAUUUGAAACUUUUUGUUUUUAACUAAAAGUUAGAAAAUCCUAUUAUCAAACAAAGUUUUUUUUAUGUUUUUUCAAAUUUUUUCUUAAAAACAUGAAACUAAAAGUUUCCAAAAUCUAGGUACCAGACCAAUAAAAAAUAAUUCUUACUGUAAUAAGAUUUAUGUUUCUAUUAUUUUUAUCUUUCUCAUAAUAAGCUUAGUCAUUUACUCAUAUUAAUCACAUAAUUUGUAAAAUCCAACCAUAUGUCCUCUCAGUUUUCAUUAACCAUUAAAAGGGUUGGCACAAAGAUACCUAUAACAUUGAAACCAAUAUGGAAGUAACUUCCAUUUUUACCCUUACAACUCUAGCAUCAUAGAAAGGGCUUUGUUGCUUCCUCCUAUCCAUAAAAGUAAUUUCAAGAUUUCUUUUGAAGCAGAAAGGAUGAAGUGGAACUCCUGGUUGCAAACACACAUUGAUGUAAAACCUACCAAAUAUACAAUACUGUUUAAGCAUUUAUUUCAAUCUUUUAUCCUGUUGUUGUCAUAAAGAAUGGAAAUAUACCACUUUUGUGUAGAAUGGUCCAUUUGAUUUGUACAAAGGCAUGGUCAGUAUCGACAAUCUUUUACUUUACAGGUAGGUAAAACUUCAUACAAAAUAACUAUACAUAUUUAAUUUUAAUCGAUUUUUAUUAUGAUAAUGUAUUUUAAAAAUCAACAUUUAUAUAGUCAAAUAAAUGGUAUUGCUAUCUAAAAUAGAAAACAAUUUAUUGAAAAAGUUAGGUCAUUUUUUAAUUAUGAACACAUACAAUAGAGUCAUAACAUUAAUUUCGAAGGUAUACAAUCUAACAUAAAAACUAUUUGAAAUAAUGAUGUUAUUUACAUAUAGUUUGUUAGAUGCGUCACGAUAGUAAAAUAAAAAUUUGCACUACGUCCAGAAAACUAGAUGUUGACGGUGCCACUACGGGCAUCAUAAUAAAACCGUCCAUGAACUAAGCUUUUAGUAAAUAUAUGUUAUUGACGUUAACUAUAAAUAAUAAUUUUUAUAUUAAAUUGAUAUAUAAAAUUACAAUUAAUUUGAAUAAUAUGAUAAGAUUAAAAUAUAUUAUAGUCAAAUUAUUUAAUUGUUUUUAUUUGCGACUUGCAUUCGAAUACAAGUAAACAUGCUUAUGAAUUUGACUAUUGUUAUGAUUAACCAAUUUAAAAGCUAAUACCAAGAAAACCAAUAUAGUUUGAGAUUUUUUCGGCUUAAGCAACAUUUUUUUAUGUUAACAAAUUUAUGUUACCAAAUGAGAAUUUGUGUUUUUUUUUAUCACUACAUAAAACUUUGAAUUCUAUAGAAUCAUCAUAGUUUGAAAAUUGUUCGGCUUAACCACUCAAGGAAAAUUUUUUUCGACUCAACCAUUAAAAAUUUAUUUAAAAAAAACCAUUUUUAACCAAAAAAUAUAUUUUUUCUUUUUUGCAUAACAUUAAUGGUAAAAACUUAAGUGAUUUUUAUGAAAAAAGAAAAGCAAAUCUUACCGGUUAAUCUAUUUUGUUUCAUGUGGUUAAAUAAGACAAACUAUAUUGGUUUUUAAGGAUAAACAUCGAAACUGAGUAUCCGAUUUCGGAAUCGGAGCNNNNNNNNNNNNNNNNNNNNNNNNNNNNNNNNNNNNNNNNNNNNNNNNNNNNNNNNNNNNNNNNNNNNNNNNNNNNNNNNNNNNNNNNNNNNNNNNNNNNNNNNNNNUAUCUUAAAAUUGUAACGUCUUACAUUUCAGAAUAAAAUUUCAUUUUUAAAUAGAAUAAACACCAACUUUUAUAAAAGUUACAUUAAAAUCAAGCAAUUUCUUCAUAAACCAUAUUUUAAAAUCAGAGUUAUAAGGAAAUCAAUACAAAAUCUCAAAUCAUAAAAUCGUUGAUGUACGUAUGUACAGUCCCGCCUUUGCAAUCCGAUAAGUACUUGAAAAACAUAUGAAUCCACAACUGCAAGUCAAAGCUUAGUGAGUUCCCCUAAAUACCCCAUACAACGAUACAUAUACAAUGUAUGCACAUCGGGCCCACAUCAUAAGACCGGAUUGCCCCCAAGCCCACAACAUAAGACUCGAUUUCCCCCGCACCCAGUGGGCCUACAGGCACACAGACAUCAUCCCAUCGACCUGUAGGAACCCAUUCAAUAUCCCACUUAACACUUACCAACAACCGCAAGAGCCAUACCAUUUUAUAACACACAACCCUUCCAUAGUCUAAACUGCUACCGACACAUCAUCGGACAAAACAUGCUUGAAUGAAACUAGGAAAUAAGAUAAAUUGUUGAACUCUUGCCCCAACUCGAAUGCAAUAAAUCAAUAAGAACCAUUCCAUAAGGCAAGACCGAGUGUGCUCAGGCUAUCACACACAAUCCCCUUACACUCCAAACGACAUUAUUUGUUGGACUGCCAACAAUUCACACUUCUCAGGGGAAAACACAAUGCUCCUCAAGUCAGCUAUGUUCCUUUUUUAACAUAACCUUACCAAAGAGUGAAGUACCAACGGAUCGAACGAAACAACGAACCCCAACCGCUAAUAGAAACAUUCUCCUAAUAACCAAUACAAUAUCACACACCUUAAAUGAAGUUAUACAAAUCCACCAAUGUGCCAUUAAACCAAUAGAAUUUCCAAAUUCAGAGAAGGAUUCCAAAAUUAUCUAGAAUGUUUCCAGAACCCUGAUCGAAUCAAUCCAAAUACCAACCUUGUUGACAUGACAUGCCAAAAUUAGACCAUGUGUGGACCUGAGGUUACACCUAGAAAAUAACCAAAGAUGUUGCUGAUGGGUUUUAUAGGUUAUAAAUUACAUAUGAAACAAAAACCUUAACCAUUAAGUUCACAUGCAACCUAUAAAGGACUUAUGUUUUCUCUAAUUGAUAACAAUAAACUAUUAGACACCAAGAACCCUAUAAUAAUCGAAAUAUACAUAGGAUUAGGAUUUACAUACCUUUUGAUUAUUAUAACAAUUAACCAAACACAAUUCCUUCUUGAAAGCCUUGGAAAGCACGUACCAAAAGUGUAGUGUCUCUAAUGGUUUGUACCAAAACCCUAGAAAUUAGAAGACUUGAGGAGAGAGAAGAGGGAAGCUAAAAAUCGGAUUUCACUUCUUGAGGAUGCAAAUCUCAAAAAUAGGCUACCAAAGCGGUCCUAUUUAUAGUUGAUAGGAAAAACAUGGAAACCCUUAUGUGAAUUAAAAUAAUCAUAUUUCAGAUUCAAACUAUUAUCCAACUUCUUUAUCUUCAGAAAGAACAUUCCAGAUGCCUUUGGCAUCUGCCAAAACCAUCCACCUCUUGUGGAAGGUUCUGAAAUCUCUUCUUGUUUAACUAUUGAACAAUUGUAGCUUGGCCUUUAUACUCUUAAUUAAACUAAUUAAUCACAAAAUUAAUUCCAACUAAAUUUUGAUUAAUUAUUAAUUAAAUAAUACCAUUUCUAAUUACUAUAUUAAUCUCAUAAUAUUAACAAAUCAUUUAUUACAAUAAUAAAUCAACAAAUCAACCUCUUUCUCCAAAAAUCAUUCUACACAAUUACUAAUUAUGAUGGCAACCCAAAAAAGGACUUUGCUUUUAAUUCAAGUAUAUACCAACUUAGUUAUGAUCUUAGACACCUUAAUCCAACACUUGUGACAUUUAAACUUCCACUACCAGGACAAUCGCCAAACUCGAAUCUCCUAGAACUCGCAGUCCCUCAACCAGCCACCAAGGGUACACAUAUCUUGAACCCUAGUUCAACCAUUGAUGUAACGACCGUAAAAUUCGAGCGAAAUUAAAACAUUUUAAUUCAUUCAAAACCAUUAAGUUCAUACAUUUGUUUUCAAAAUAGUUUAAACAUCAGAGCAUUUCCCAGAACCAUAUCACAUAAAUCCUAAAACAUGAAGAGCGGUACGAUCACGCAUUCGCCUUGCCACGGUCUCCUGAAGUACCUGAAACAAUACACUGAAACUGUAAGCCCGAAAGCUUAGUGAGUUACCCCCAAAAUACCAACCACAAUACCAUACACAUAACAUAUCAUAUCAUAAACAGAACAACCAUGCAUAUCGAGUCUACAAUAUGACUGGUCCGCCCGCACCGGGCCUUCAAUCCACCUGGUCCAUUCUCUGAGUGUACAGUAUGACUNCCCCGGGCCUUCAGUCGGUCUGGUCCCCUCUCCGAGCCUCAGCACGUCUGGUCCGCCCUCAUGGGGCCUUCAUCCUAUCCGGACCGCUCGUCGGGCCAUCGGCCUAACCGGUCCGCCCUGGGUAUGUUGGCCUACAACACAAAGCAGGACCCGCCUCAAUCCAACCCCAGUCCAACAACCAUGUGCACAUAAACAUAUAAUCAUAUAGUAAUUCACAACUAAUCAACCAAUCUGGCAGAUCACAUAACAUAGCAACAUCCUAACCAAGAUAUCGACCUAACCAGGUCUCUAACAUAGCAUCAUCUUAUAUACCAGGAUACCGACCUUAACCAGGCCUCUAACAUAACAUCAUCCUAUAUACCAGGAUACCGACCUUAACCAGGUCUCUAACAUAGCAUCAUCCUACAUACCAAGAUACCGACCUUAACCAAGUCUCUAACAUAGCAUCAUCCUACACACCAGGAUACCGACCUUAACUAGGUCUCUAACAUAAACCAUCCUAACUACCAGGAUGCAGGCAUAGCAAAGAAAUAACAUAACAAACAACUACUCAGACUCCCAUCUGAUAAAGGGCAGGCCUUGGUGCCUUAGACCCUAUCAAUAUAGUGAGGAUAACUCACCUGCAACUCCCGACUUGAAGAAGUAAGACCACGCUGCUUCGACCACCAGCACGAGCUCCACCACUGAUCAUUUCCAAAUAACGAAUCCAAUAAAUACCAAUAAUUACCAAAAUACCCCUGGAAGACAACUGGUCAACCCUUGGUCAAAGUCAAGGUCCUCACUCAAAGUCAACCUUCCUGGUUGACCCUACUCGCCGAGUCAACCCGUUGACUCGUCGAGUUCCUAUGCUCAGAACUCCCAUGCCACGACUCAACUCGCCGAGUCGCCCCAAGACUCGUCGAUUCCAACAAGCUCUGAGUCCCUUCCUGCUCAACUUACCGAGUCAUCCCUCAACUCACCGAUUGACAGCUCAAAGAGAAAAGGUUAGGGUUCCACGACCAAACUCGCCGAGUCCAAAGCAAUCUUCAACAGACUCUCCGAGUUGUUCUUCUAACUUGCCGAGUCCAUGCACAUAUUCAUACAACUCGUCGAGUGCACCCAUGUGACUCGCUGAGUCUCUUCAGUUCUCAUUCCAUGUAGAGGCUUUUUAAGCCAUGUAGGGACUCAAAUCUAUAGAUCCACUCUUCUACAGCCUAUCCCUCACAUAAAGUUGCAAACUUUAUGUGGAACCAAGGUGAUAUAAGCUCUAAACACUCUAGGGCUAAGGCUAAAGACGAAAUGGCUUCACCAAUGACUCUUAAAGGGAGCUUUAUGACAUAUAGGACCAUCACAUGCUUAGAUCUGAAGUAGCAUCCUCAGAUCCAAGCUUCUAUCUCGAAUUAGUUCUCACAUCAAUCACCAUACGUGAAUCCAUGAAGAAAUAGCUUAAGGAAAUGGUUCCUUACCCCUAAAAUGAGCCCAAACAAUAGUAGAUUUCUGAUCUCCCCAAGCUUCCUGAUACAAGCCUCCAAACCUUCAAGCUUCAAAAGCCAAAGAUCCUCCUCCAAGCUCUAAUUCAUUCAACAAUGGGGUUUCCUCACGAAUUAAGGUUUCUGGAUCUCAAAUGGGAAGCAAAGAGGCUGAGGGGAAAACAUAAGGUUCUUUAAAUAGGGUGCAAACCCCGAAAAUAGGGUUUCUCAUUCCAGCACUGACUCGCCGAGUCUAGCCGCUGACUCGCCGAGUCGGUCACUUAGCACGUGACCAAAUCGCGACUCAACUCGCCGAGUCUAUCCAUAGCCUCGCCGAGUCGAUCUUUCUUAAUUACACCAAGAGCCCUGAACUUACACUUCUGAACUCGGGGUGUUACAAUUCUCCCCCACUUAAAUUAGGCUUCACCCUCGAAGCCUGCAGCAACACAUCCCAGAUGAUACUCCCGCAAUACAGCUCCUGGUCUCAACCGACGCAGGUUCCUCCAAACACUACUAUCAAACCUCUGUAAAGUCUAACUCUUCCUUCACAGAGUCACGACAACUGCUUCAAGCCGGCCACCGGCUUCUUUCUCUGAUAACAACACUCAUCAACCAAAUGAUCACCCGAUGAUACUUCCCUUAUUCCAAAUCACAACAAUCACUUGACUCUUACAAAGAUAGAUAUCACCCUGAACCAUCGGGUCCUGACCCGGUAUCAAGCUACUACCCCUUUCCUUGACUUGCAUAUCCUUUAUCGCAUUCACUUCCAGGACUUAUCCCGCUUUCCUUUUCGAAUCCAACUCGUUUCUUUCUGCACUGACAGGAUGACACAUCCUUUAGCUCCGGAGCAACUCCCAUGAGCUCUCCUCUGCAAUCACAUAUAAUGUUGAAUCUGCUCUAACAUCCUCGGGCUGGAAAACCCGACAUACUGACGAUACCUCCAGACACCCCCAGGAUGAAUUACCGCUACAUACAUAACCUCCUGAUCACAACCAUACUGGAAACUCAAGGCUCCCUCCUUGCAUCCCUUCCGAACUCCUCUGGUUCUACACCACCGGAAAUCCUUCCGUGACUUCAAUAGACACCUAACCCGGAUGUACUUCCAUACCACUGGCACACUCACAAUGCUCAAUAACCAUAAUCGAAAUACUCUCAAUCAUCCAUUCACACUGCUGCUUUCAUUUCCGUGAACCAACACUCCCUCCCGGAGUUACAUACCUUUCCUUUUUCUUAUCCAAGGAAAUCUACUGGUCAACCUUGCCACUUCAGACAAGUGCCACGGUGCUCACACCCCACUCUACAUUAUCCCUUGUAGAGUAACCGCUACUCCAUGCAUUGCACAUGCUCUGAAUCUGCUCGCAAGGACUCUCGGGUCCAUGCACUGCCUUCUGCUAACAUGAUCAAUACCCGGGGCCAGACCCACUAUUUGCUAUCGCAUCGCAACAUACUUAAUCCAUCUCCUCAUAUAGAUCUAUCAACACAUACAGAGUCUUCAGCAUGACUGGACCGCCUUACUAGGCCUUCAGCCAAUCUGGACCACUCUCAGAACCUUCAGCAUGUCUGGACCACCCUCCAGGGCCUUCAGCCUAUCUGGACCGUUCUCUGAGCCUUCGGCCUGACCGGUACGCCCACAUGCCUUCAGUCUCCCCGGACCGCUCAAACUAUCAUACAUCGUCCUGAACUAUCCUUCUUGGGAAUCUUUCCCGUACAUACUGUUCUAGCCCUCUAGGGGUUUCGAACUCUAACUCCAUCCCACCUACUCAGAUCUCAGCCUAAUCCUAGGCCUUACAACACCAAUCACCCUUUCCCAAAAACCUUGGUCUGUACCUCGCCCCAUUUUCCUGUCAUUUACUCAUACCACCCCACACUCUUGGCUGACUGAAACACUGUUGAAUCCCAAACAGCUAAUCAACCUCUAAUGCUUGUCGAUCCUCCUGAAAAUUUUCCAAUUCUCCCCACUUAGAACACUUCCUACCAACCACCGGUGACUCGACCGGCAUAAAUCAAUCAUCCCUACUCAAUAUACUCCUCUUAUCCAUGAACUGAUUUCCUCUGAAACGAGCAACCUCCACAAAAUCACUUCCUGACAUCACACAUCACGAACUCUAAGGGAGUUCGACUCUCUGCCGAACACUUCUCAAAUCUCAAUUGCUAUACCCAACAUCAAGACCACAUAACCAAAUUCUGACCAUCAAUCCCUUGGAUGCUAAUCGCCUACAACUCCUAGUUACUAACACUCCCAACCAAACCAUGAAGCACGCAAAACGGCAAAUAAAAUACAACACUACAUAGAUAACCAAAUAACCAGACAACAACGAAACGAAAACAUACCCGCAACUGCAUCCGGCUCUGACCUGACCUCCUCUGCUGUGAGCUGAAAAGCGCGAACCUGAGCCCUCGAAGGCUCGGCUCCACCCUGACCCCCGCCAGUAAUCCUCAAAGUGGCCGGUGCUGGAGCCUGCACCGGUCUGGUAACCAACUGUGGAUAGUUGGCCUUCAAUUAACCAACCUGGUGGCAAUGAUAACAAAUCCUCACAUCCUAAACCGGGGCUGACUGCCGACAAUCCCUCGCGUAAUGCCCCUCUCUCCCGCACUUGCACCACACACCACCAGACCUACAAACUCCGGUAUAACCCUUCCCGCACCUUUCCCAACCUGGAAUCAACAGUCUUGGACCGUUUCGGCGCCGGCUGCGACUGCGCCUGGGCCUGCCUCUGCUCUCUCAACUGCAACUCAAUCUCCAAUUCACGCCGCCGAGCGGCCUCCUACAACUCCAGUAAGGUCUCGCACCUCUGCGUAGACACAUACUGCCUGAUAUCCCUCUUGAGCAUACUCAGAUAUCGGGACAUCUGAGCCUGUUCCGAAGCAAAUUCAUGGCAAAACAUCGCCCUUUCAGUGAACAUCCUGGUGAUCUCCGUCACCGACUCCGAACCCUGACUCAGUUCCAAGAACUCCUGAGCCAACCUCUCCUUAUCAACCCGUGGAACAUAACGGGUACUGAACAUCUCCCGGAACUGAUUCCAUGAAAUCGCAACCCGCUGCGCAUCCGAAUAAGAUCCUGUGGUCAACCUCCACCAAUCCUUCGCCCCGAGCCUCAAAAGGUUCAGAGCACACUUCACCCUCUGGUCCGCAGGGAAUGAACACGUGAAGAAACAACCCUCCACGUCUGACAACCACCUCGUAGCAACGAUCGGAUCCUGAACUCCAUCGAAAGUAGGGGGCUUCGUAUUAUCGAACUCUCGAUACUGAAAACCUCGACCGGUUCCUCCCCCUGCCGCUGAUACANNNNNNNNNNNNNNNNGCCGCCUCUGUGAGAGCUGCAUAGCGCUCAUCAAGGUACUCAACCAUGGUGGUCUUGAUCGACCCAAACAUCUCUGGCAACUCAGCCCGAAACAUAGCAGCAACCUCAUCAUGCAGGAUCUCACGAAUCCUGGCAUCCAACUCGUCUGUACCCAUCUGACUAAUGACCUCAUGUGGUACCGAUCCACCUUGAUCACCCUCUCCUGAUCCCGAUCCCGAAUCGGAUCCUGCCCCGAGACGUCUCGUAAUCGCCAUACCGAAAAUAUGCUACAAGAAUAUUAGGCAUUCCUCAUAAUAAUCUCAAGAACUAGCUCCCAACAAAACCCUAGGGGUUGUGACUUCCUUGAUACGCGUAUAGGUCCUGUGCUUUCAGUAGUACGGGCCCAUACUACCUUCCACACCUACCCAUAUUUGUAUCAAGUAUCGCCACAACACCCUAACAAUAACAUAUACAUAAUGAACACUCCAUCCCCACCCCUAGAGGAGCACCACUAUCCUAUAACCAACCAACCGGUCUCACGCAACCCACCCAUCCAUGAAACAUCCACCGACCUUGCAACAUUAGUGUAUACUAGCCACACAUAACGCUGGACCCGAUAGACUUUCGAAUAUCCAAUUCUACCCUAAGGUCGAAUCAAACAUUCUUAGACUAUAAGAUCUUGAUUAUGCACAGUCGUGAUGCAUACACUAAAAAACUACAAUAAGGAUGUCAAUUUCAUAUAAGGAAAACCCUAGGGUAAUAGGCAUCAUGAAAUCAGGCAAUUCUAUCAUGCAAUUCCUGAAGAUCCCUAGCCUAGUACUAGCAUGUUGUUCUAACAUAUCACAUAAUCAAAUAACUUGUAUGGUAUUUUGGGGUCUCCUUACUGGCUCUAGCUGAUCGUACCCUCUGCAUUCUCCUUUACUUAUUUCGAAAACAUUUUGAAAACCAUUUUGUAAAUCCCUCCUUGAUUUGAGACUGGAUUCACACGAAUGUUCCUCCAAUUCACUCAAACCAAGGCUCUGAUACCAACUUCUAACGACCGUAAAAUUCGAGCCAAAUUAAAACAUUUUAAUUCAUUCAAAACCAUUAAGUUCAUACAUUUGUUUUCAAAAUAGUUUAAACAUCAGAGCAUUUCCCAGAACCAUAUCACAUAAAUCAUAAAACAUGAGGAGCGGUACGAUCACGCCUUCGCCUUGCCACGGUGUCCUGAAGUACCUGAAACAAUACAUUGAAACUGUAAGCCCGAAAGCUUAGUGAGUUACCCCCAAAAUACCAACCACAAUACCAUACACAUAACAUAUCAUAUCAUAAACAGAACAGCCAUGCAUAUCGAGUCUACAAUAUGACUGGUCCGCCCGCACCGGGCCUUCAGUCCACCUGGUCCACUCUUUGAGUCUACAGUAUGACUGGUCCGCCCACACUGGGCCUUCAGUUUAUCUGGUCCACUCUCCGAGCCUCAACACGUCUGGUCCGCCCUCAUGGGGCCUUCAUCCUAUCCGGACCGCUCGUCGAGCCAUCGGCCUAACCGAUCCGCCCUGGGAAUGUUGGCCUACAACACAAAGCAGGACCCGCCUCAAUCCAACCCCAGUCCAACAACCAUGUGCACAUAAACAUAUAAUCAUAUAGCAAUUCACAACUAAUCAACCGAUCUAGCAGAUCACAUAACAUAGCAACAUCCUAACCAGGAUACCGACGUAACCAGGUCUCUAACAUAGCAUCAUCCUAUAUACCAGGAUAUCGACCUUAACUAGGCCUCUAACAUAACAUCAUCCUAUAUACCAGGAUACCGACCUUAACCAGGUCUCUAACAUAGCAUCAUCCUAUAUACCAGGAUACCGACCUUAACCAGGUCUCUAACAUAAACCAUCCUAACUACCAGGAUGCAGGCAUAGCAAAGAAAUAACAUAACAAACAACUACUCGGACUCCCAUCUGAUAAAGGGCCGACCUUGGUGCCUUAGACCCUAUCGAUAUAGUGAUGAUAACUCACCUGCAACUGCCGGCUUGAAGAAGUAAGACCACACUGCUUCGACCACCAGCACGAACUCCACCACUGAUCAUUACUAAAUAACCAAUCCAAUAAAUACCAAUAAUUACCAAAAUACCCCUGGAAGACAACUGGUCAACCCUUGGUCAAAUUCAAGGUCCUCACUCAAAGUCAACCUUCCUGAUUGACCCUACUCGCCGAGUCAACCCGUUGACUCGUCGAGUUCCUAUGCUCAGAACUCCCAUGCCACGACUCAACUCGCCGAGUCGCCCCAAGACUCGUCGAGUCCAACAAGCUCUGAGUCCCUUCCUGCUCAACUCACCGAGUCAUCCCUCGACUCACCGAUUGACAACUUAAAGAGAAAAGGUUAGGGUUCCACGACCAGACUCGCCGAGUCCAAGACAAUCUUCAACAGACUCGCCGAGUUGUUCUUCUAACUCGCCAAGUCCAUGCACAUAUUCAUACAACUCGUCGAGUGCACCCAUGUGACUCGCCGAGUCUCUUCAGUUCUCAUUCCAUGUAGAGGCUUUUCAAGCCAUGUAGGGACUCAAAUCUAUAGUUCCACUCUUCUACAGCCUAGCCCUCACAUAAAGUUGCAAACUUUACGUGGAACCAAGGUGAUAUAAGCUCUAAACACUUUAGUGCUAAGGCUAAAGACGAAAUAGCUUCACCAAUGACUCUUAAAGAGAGCUUUAUGACAUAUAGGACCAUCACAUCCUUAGAUCUGAAGUAGCAUCCUCAGAUCCAAGCUUCUAUCUCGAAUUAGUUCUAACAUCAAUCACCAUACAUGAAUCCAUGAAGAAAUAGAUUAAGGAAAUGGUUCCUUACCCGUGAAAUGAGCCCAAUAACAUUAGAUUUCUGAUCUCCCCAAGCUUCCUGAUACAAGCCUCCAAACCUUCAAGCUUCAAAAGCCAAAGAUCCUUUUCCAAGCUCUAAUUCACUCAACAAUGGGGUUUCCUCACAAAUUAAGAUUUCUGGAUCUCAAAUGGGCAGCAAAGAGGCUGAGGGGAAAACAUAAGGUUCUUUAAAUAAGGUGCAAACAUAAGGCUCUGGAUCUCAUUCCAGCACCGACUUGCCGAGUCGGUCACUUAGCACGUGAGCAAAUCGCGACUCGACUCGCCAAGUCUAUCCAUAGACUCGUCGAGUCGAUCUUUCUUAAUUACACCAAGAGCCCUGAACUUGCACUUCUGAACUCGAGGUGUUACAAUUGACAAGACUAUGACUAAGGGUCGACGCACCAACUGCAACCUCGACUAUUACUACUCGGAGACCCUCGAACGACUCCAGAUGCUGAUAAGGAAUAAAAUGACCAAUCAAUCGGAGACAGAUCGACAACUAGAACCAACGAUCCCCUACACUGUUAAACAGAUCCCAAGCGAAAAUACACAUACCAAACUCUAAAGUCAGUCGACAGAUUUGCAACUGCCCAUCCAUGACCAUAGUAAGCAACCCCAUACUGCGAGUUAACCAUGUCCUUUACAUCUGAUGCCCAAUCUGAGUGACUCAAACGCUCAUUUCUCAAAAUCCUUGGCGUUUCCAGAAGAAACUAUCGACCACAACGAGUUCCUUACCUAACAACUUUCUAUUGCGAUAACAACACAUGUGUCCUGGAAAACACAACCUGACGGGAAAUUGCUCUGCACUCGAUUUGACCAAUCUUCGAAUUCUUCAUGACCAUGAAGGAUUCCAACGGACCUCAAGAAUGCAAUGAGAAGUCUUCCUAACCAUUAGCUCUUCAAUGGUAGCCUAUAUUCCUUCUUGCCUGCAACAAUAUGAAACGACCCAAAAAUACAACCCAAAAAUUUCGUUUUUCAACAUAACCAAAAACCGUAAUCUGAGUGUCAUAUCAUAAAACCAUACAUGAUGUAUCUCAACAUAAUAAUAAAACACUGUGCGGAAAAACUGUAUCAUAUCCAUGACAUAUAAAAAUCAAGAACUAAAUCAACUCCCAGGAUAAAAGCUGAAGCCGUGGUGUGUGCGAUGCCAUCAUCCCGAGCUCUUCCCUCUGCUAGCGGAAGUACCUGAAACCAAAACUAAAACUGUAAGCACGAAGCUUAGUGAGCUCCCCCAAACUACCACAUACCAUACAAUACAUAUAAAGCACAUACUGGGCCUUGCCCACUGCAUCAGACCGAAGUCUGGAACUAGCUGCAUCGGACCGAAGUCCGGAACUGACUGGGACCUUGUCCCCUGCAUCGGACCAGAGUCCGGAACUAACUGCAUCGGACCGGAGUCCGGAACUAACUGCAUCGGACCGAAAUCCGGAACUAACUGCAUCGGACCGAAGUCCGGAACUGACUGCAUCGGACCGAAGUCCGGAACUAACUACAUCGGACCGAAGUCCGGAACUGACUGAUCAUGACAUAGCAUGUCACAUAACAACUAUUAUAUUCACACAUACUGCAUACUGCAUCGGACCGAAGUCCGGAACACAUAACACAAAUAUGCUUGAAUCACAAAGACGUCAAGCCAGCUAGCUACUACAUCAAACUAAAGACCGGAACUACUGAUAAUUACACGGGCCGGCAUUGUGGCCGUAGACCCGUUCCUACUGAAGGGAAACUCACCUCGUGAACUGGCUGCUGAGUGAAUAGCUCUGAGGGCUAACUGCUGCUGCUCCGGUAUCUCCCCGGCUACAAGUCCAUAAACACACUCAAUCAAAUACUAAACACUGCACUGGGUAAAAUGACUCUUUUACCCUUGGUCAAAGUCAACCCUCGGACAAAGUCAACCCAUAGUUGACCUGACUCGCCGAGUCCCUGUUCUCAUUCCUCGACUCUACUCGCUGCUACUCGUCGAGUAUGGCAUCGACUCGACGAGUACUCUCCCGAUCCAAGAACUCAGAAAAUCUUCAUCCGACUCGCCGAGUCCUAUGAACAACUCGACGAGUUGUUCUUGAGCUUAAGAAGAUUGCCUUGGACUCGCCGAGUUGUAUGAACAACUCGCCGAGUCCCUCCAUUACUGAGUCUACCCUCAAACUCGCUGAGUCCACUCCACUACUCACUGGUCCCACUCGACACCGCUCAAAAGGAAGAAAUCGGGGACUCGCGACUCGACUCGCCGAGUCGUUCUUCCGACUCGCCGAGUCACCGCCAUGCAACUAUUCUACACUCGAUUCUGCUCGAAUCCAAUACAUACAAAUGAUAGAUCUGGGUCCAAUAAGCUGAUUUACCACGUAAAGUUUCCAACUUUACGUGUACAAACACAUGAACAAGGGAAUAAAGGCUAAAAAGGCACUUAAAAGGGUAGAUCUAGGGUUAUGAUGCACAAUGGCUCCAUAAAGACAAUAGAUUUGGGCUCUACAACCCCUAAAUGAACAGAUCUAAGGAUAUCUCGACAUAAAAUGGCUUCCAUAUCAACAUAAGGCUUGAGAAAAGCAUCAACUAGAUCUAAAGGGGAUUUUAAAGCAUAAAAGGGAAGGAAAUCCGAAGAAUACCUCAAAGAACUCUUGCUUUCCCUUGAAUCUUCGCUCUACAAUUCUUCUCCUUGCUCCUUUCUUCUUCUCCUUCUUCAAUCCUUCACAAAAUGCACACAAGAUCACUUAAAACACUCAAGAACGAAUUAGGGUUUUCUCACAGCUUUAGAGGGUGAAGGAGGCGAGAUUGGGUGCUAUAAGGUGGCUUAAAUAGUGGGCAACCCGGGGAUUUAGGGUUUCUCCCAGACGAACAGACUCGCCGAGUCCAGAAUAUGGACUCGCCGAGUCGCCAACUAACACGUGCUCGAAAUCCCGUCCCUA